This 57083-nucleotide long non-coding RNA is filed under the name Ananas comosus (pineapple). RNAcentral describes it as "long non-coding RNA (ACOM_LNC028835)". Lineage: Eukaryota; Viridiplantae; Streptophyta; Magnoliopsida; Poales; Bromeliaceae. The record is from RNAcentral.
UAAAGUGAUAAAGUGCAAAACCACAGGGUACUAACUUGAUACGCUUUAAACCACAGAGUACUAAAGUGAUAAAGUGAGAAACCACAGGGUACCAACUUGAUACAUUUUAAACCACAGGGUACUAAAUUGAAAAAAAUUGAAACCACAAGGGGGGUUUUGAAGUUUUUCCAAAAAAAUAAUGAAGUGACAAGAAACAGCUAGCCCUACAAAAACUAAGAUCAAAAGACACACUAAUUGAAUGAGAUGAAGAGUUAUCUAGCAAACUUUAUUUAAAUUCUUCUUUAGACUAAGACAGAGUAAAUUAUGAUAACAUUAGAACUACAACAAACAUAGAAUGGUAGGGCCCUAAGUUCAAAAUCAAUCACGCAAAUAAUUUCUCUUUUUAACCAAGCGCACAGAGAUGGAUGACAACUACUGAUACCAAUUUGCCAUAAUUUAAGCUCGCCGAAUUCUAGCUAAAUAGUUAGAAGUUUCAGCCCUGAACAACUUCGAAAAAUGUCAAAAUGAAUAUAUCAUCAGAAAUGUCAUUCCAACACGAUUACACACCAAUUAACACUCAGCAAAGAUAUCCUCCUUCACAUAAAACUCUACUAACAAUACAACAAUCUCUGAUUAACAGCUAUAUAUAUGAAUCCAACAUCAAGUAUUUUAACACAUGUUCUUUUAACAACACAAAGAAAACAACUAAUCUUCCUUUAACAACAAAAAAGAAAAAAAAUAGCUGAUAUGUCCAAAUUUAAAUAUUACAUAAAGAGAAUAAUCUAGAUAAGUCAAAAAUUAGUAACAGAAUAAUCUAGAUAAGAUGCUUCAGAUCAAUUCCUGCUAUUCCCACUUACAUAUCCUUCUUUGUCCUAAUAUUUUCAUGCCCCUUUAGUAAUAUCAUGUUCAAGCCGAUCAAAGUCGACCUCAGCUCUUCGUAUGGGUGGGUUCACAAAAUGAAGGCAUCUAUACAACAUGUUUACGUGCUUCUAUAUACCAAUAAAAUGUAUAUAAUAUAAGUUAAUACAACAUUUUAUUUACUAAUUUUUUUUUUUCAUAAAGUUACUCCUAUAAAAGAUCAACUACUCGGCGAUAAAAUUUUUAUUACAACAAAAUAAAAAGAACUAUUAUUUUUGAAUAAUUAUUUUAAUAUAUAUUGACUACUAUAUUAUUUUAAAGAAAUAUAUUUCAUUGUAUGGUUUGCACUGUCUAAAUUUUCAUGUUUAAUUAGCUUAUUUUAUAAGACAAAAAAUGCUAAUUAAGUUUGUAUAAAUUUUACAUCUCAUUGUUACAGCCGUUAAUCAAUCAUUAUUAGUGUAUGCGAAUGCACACGCGCACGUGAGCACAAACUCACAUAAAGUGAUGAGACUAACAUUAAAAAAUUUAACGUAAAAUCUUAAAAUUACAAGAUUUAAUUUCUACUUGUAAAUAAAUAAGUAGCAUUACUCUACUUUUUGAUAAUAAACUGUGAACUAAUGUAUGAACUUCCACAAAAAUAUCUAUUAAUUUAACAAAUUUCUACUUAAAUUAAUCGAAAUGAUUGUAGAAAUUAAAGUUUGGAAAGUGUUUUUGGAAAAAAAAAAAAAAAGGAAAAAAUAAGGGUGCCAUUUUCAAAAUAUGCUAUAGUUGAAGUAUUUUUUAAAAAUUUUUAAAACUUUUAUAAUUUAAAAUUUUACAUACGAAAUAGAAAAUUACUUUAUUAAAAGUAACUUGAUUUUUAAAUUAAUUUAGCUAAAAUUUUUAAUUAUUUUAGGAACAUGAUGGACUUUAGCGACAUCAACUGCCAUUGAAGCCUUAGUCAAGAUAAAGACCGGCUACUUUAAUUGAUUUAUCACCACAAUAUAUUAUUCACGGCCUUAACAAGGGAUAUUAUGGUUGGUCUGACCACGGCGGUUGAAAAAUUGUGAAAAAAAGUAGUGUAGUAAUGAAGAAAGCUUAACCCUGUGUAGAUUGUAGAUGUUUAAGAAUAAUUAGAAACUUUGAUAAAAAAAAUAAAUUAUUGUAUGUCUCGACAGUUAGUACAUUUAGACGAAAACAUAUAAUUCAGUUAUAUUACCAUUAAUAUUCAGAGAUUUGAAAAUGUCCCCUCUGGUGAUGAACAUGCGCUUUUGAAAGCGGUUGCUCACCAACUUGUUGUAUGCGGAAUCCAAACUAACGACUUUUUCAAAAACUACGACGGUGGAAUUAUAAAAAGAAGCAACAUGUCAGAGAGGAUUAUCACACUCAAUCAUUCUAUCCUAAUUGUUGGAUAUGGAGAAAAGAACGGGUUAAAGUAUUGGAUAGUGAAAAAUUUUUGGAAAAAAAAGUGGGGCGAGGAAGAGUAUGUAAUAAUUGAACGAAGAGUAGGAAUAGCAGGAAUUGAUCUGUAAGCAUCUUAUCCUGUAUAAUUGUUUACAUUCAAUCGUGCAACCUUUUGAGGAGUCAUACUUCUGUUCACUUGGAUAUUAGGUAACCAAUUUUAAAUUAUUAUCUAGAUUAUUCUUUUUUUAUCAUUUUAACGAGUAGAGGAAUUGAUCUGGAAGUAUAUUAUUCUGUAUAAUUAUUUACAUCUAAUCGUGCAGCCUUUUGUUUAAAUUUGGACAUAUUAACUAUUUUUUUCUUUUUUGUUGUUAAAGGAAGAUGAUUAGUUGUUAUUUUUUUUGUUGUUAAAAGAACAUGUGUUAAAAUACUUGAUGUGAGAUUGUUAACAGCUAUAUAUAUGAAUCCGGCAUCAAGUAUUUUAACACAUGUUUUUUUAACAACAAAAAGAAAAGAACUAAUCAUUUUCUUUAACAGUAAAAAAAAGCGAAUAUUUCCAAAUUUAAAAAUGAUAAAAAAAGAAUAAUCUAGGUAAUAAUCUAAAAUUGGUUACCUAAUAUCCAAGUGAACAGAAGUAUGACUCCUCAAAAGGUUGCACGAUUGAAUGUAAACAAUUAUACAGGAUAAGAUGCUUACAGAUCAAUUCCUGCCAUUCCUACUCUUCGUUCCAUUAUUACAUACUCUUCCUCGCCCCACUUUUUUUUCCAAAAAUUUUUCACUAUCCAAUACUUUAACCCGUUCUUUUCUCCAUAUCCAACAAUUAGGAUAGAAUGAUUGAGUGUGAUAAUCCUCUCUGGCAUGUUGCUUCUUUUUAUAAUUCCACCGUCGUAGUUUUUGAAAAAAUCGUUAGUUUGGAUUCCGCAUACAACAAGUUGGUGAGCAACCGCUUUCAAAAGCGCAUGUUCAUCACCAGAGGGGACAUUUUCAAAUCUCCGAAUAUUAAUGGUAAUAUAACUAAAUCCUAUAUUUUAGUUUAGACGUACUAAUUGUCGAGAGAUAUAAUAAUUUAUUUUUUUAUCAAAAUUUCUAAAUAUUUUUAAACAUCUACAACCUGCAUAAGAAUAAGCUCUCUCAGUUACUACACUACGCUUUUUCACAAUUUCCCAACCUACGUGUUCAAACCAGCCGCAGCAUCCCUUAUUGAGGCCGUUAAUAAUAUAUUGCAGCAAUAGAUCGAUCAAGUGGCCAAUCUUUAUUUUGAUCAAACCUUCAAUGGCGACUGAUGCAGCUAAACCCAAAAUAUUACUAAGAUAAUUUAAAAUUUUAGCUAAAAUAAUUUAAAAAUUAAGUUACUUUUAAUAAAAUAAUUUUAUAUUUCGUAAGUAUAAUUUUAAAUUAUAAAAAUUGUAAAAAUUUUACAAAAAAUGCGUCAACUAUAGCUCAUUUUGAAAAGGACACGCUUACUUUUCCUCUUCAUUUUCAAAAAUACUUUUCUAACUUUAAUUUCUACAAUCAUUUCGAUCAAUUUAGUUACAAAUUUGUUAAAUUAAUUGAUCUUUUUAUAAAAGUUCAUACUUUAGAUUAUAGUUUACCAUCAAAAAGUAGAGUAACGCUACUCCUUUAUUCAAAAGUAAAAAUAAAUUUUAUAAUUUUAAGAUUUACGUCAAAUUUUUUAAUACUUGUCUCAUCACUAUAUAUAUGCAUUUGUGCACGCGCGCACGUGUGUGCGUGCGCGUACAGUAAAACCAAUAACGAUUGACUAACGGCUUAAGCGGUAAGAUGUAAAAUUUAUAUAAACUUCAUGUGUGUAUAAUUAGCAUUUUUUGUCUCAUAAAAAUAAUCUAAUUAAACAUGAAAAAUUAGACAGUGCACACCAAAUAAUGAAACAUAUUUUCUUUAAAAUAAUAUAAUAGUAAAUAUAUAUUAAAAUAUUUACUCAAAAAUAAUAAUUCAAAUUAUUUUGUUGAAAUAAAAAUUUUACCGCUGAAUAGUUGAUAUUUUAUAAGAGUAUCGGCUCCCCUCUCUCUCCAGUCUAUGGUCAACUGCAUGCACAUAACGAAAAGAACUCCCUCAACUCGAAGUAGAGUAUAGCCGCUGAUAAAAAAAAACAAAUAAAAACAUUAGUAAAUAAAAUGUUGUUUUAACUUAUAUUAUAUAUAUUUUAUGGGUACGUAGAAAUAUUUAAACUUGUAUAGAUGGGUCCACUUUAUGACCCCAUCCAUACCAAGAGUUGAGGUCAACUUUGAUCAGUUUGAACAUAAUAUUAUUAAAAUUAGAUUAAAUUUUUGAUACCGUAAUGUUAUCCAAAAAGAGUAAAAUUCAAAUCGACCCGCUUUAGCUCAUUUUCACUUUACUCAUAUUUCACUUUACUCCUAUAUGUUUUAAUUUUUUUUUUCGCUAUAUUUUUUUUCCCCAAAUAGGGUGUUAAAUUGAAAAUCUAUAAAAGAAUCAUAGGAUGGCAAAAUAAAAAAAAUAUGCUAAACCACACGGAAGCAAAGUAAAAUUUUUGGAACCACAGGGUGAAAUGAAAAUGAGCUAAAUGAGGUAAACCACAAGGAAGCAAUUUGAAAUUUAUCCAUUAAAAUGUGAUGAACCAUUUAACACGGAGAAGGAAAAGACUACUUGUACAUUAUUUUAGGCAAUGUCAAUCUUAGGACAUCUAGAGUUUAGAUUAAUUACAUGAAUUUUUAAAUUAAAAAAAAGAGCGAUAAGAUCAUUAUAAAAAGUGGCUAGAAGUAAUUAUUGAAGUGGAAGAUGCAGGCAGAUGAAUUGUGCUAUGAAGAAAGAUUAUAUUUAUUUUUUCGAAAAGAACUCACACGUUGAUAAUAUUUUGAAAAAUCAAUUCGAUUAAACAAAAAAACAUAUAGGAAUACAAUAGCAGCUGAACUAGGCUGGAAUACUAUCAAUAGCACUAAGCUAUUGGUGCUAUUAGUUUUUUAGUCCUUGGAUUGAUAAAUGUGUGGUUAGGAUGAUGUAGGCCCCUGAGGGUUGAGUGAGUGGUUUGUUAAAUAGUAUGAUCUAACAGGUAAAUCUAACGGUAGAAAACUCGAUAGCACCAAAUCCUUGCUGCUAUCGAUAAUAUCCCAGCCGGACUCUAUAUAUAUAAAGAGAGAAGAUAGAGAAAGAGCUCUAUUUCUUAUGAGUGUAGAGCUCUUUGUACUCAUAAAUUUUUGGCCAUUGGAUGAAGGGAUGUGCAGUUAGGAUGACAAUGGUCCCAGUUAGGAUUAUAGUGGUCCUUAGAGUUAAGUGAAUGGUUGAUUAAAUAGUAUGAUCUAAUGAAUGAAAAUGGUGAAAGGUAUAGAUCUAACCAUCAAAAAUUUAUGAGUACAAAAAGGUCUAUACUCACAAGAAUAUAUGCUUCAUGCUUCUCUUAUGAACAAACAAUUAACAGAUAUUUAUUGAAUAAUAAUACGUAAAAUUAAUAUUGAGUAAAAUCGAAUGAGAUUGUGAAGAAAGCAAAUGUUAUUUAAAAUAGACCCUAUUAUAACAUAAUUUUCAUUAAUUACUUUCUUAUCAUGUAUGUUGCAACAAUAAUCUAUACUAAUCUAUGAAUCCCCAAUAUCUUGCUGACAUGGCGUUACCUCCUUCUUUCAAAACUGCUCUAUUUCAUCUCCCAACCUCCAAAACCCCUCAUCUUCAAAACCGUUUCCUCCUUAUCUUCCAAUAAAACCACAAUUGAAUGCAUAUAAUUGCAUCAAAACUAUUCCCUCUCAUCUCCCAACCUCCAAAAUCCCUCAUCUUCCAAAACCGUUCCCUCCUCAGCUCCUAAUAAAACCACAAUUGAAUGCAUGUACUUCAACAAAAUUUUGUAGGAUUAUUGAUCUUCCAUCCGUUGAAUUGAGAGCGCAAUAGAAUAGAAAGUUCGAUUCCUUAUAGCUCUACUUCUAGCAGUAGUUUCUUUUUUCGUUUUUUACAUUUAAUUUGUUGUUCGCUUGGAUUUUAGGAAAGCAUUUUUGGGUGUUUUUUUUUUAAUUUUUGGCACAUUUUAUGUUUUUUUUUUUAAAUCGUUCUAACUUCUUGAAAAGUUUCCUUUUGUUUCAGAGAGAUGAUCUUUUUUGUCUGAAUGUUUUGAAUAUUUUCCCAAUAUUAUUAUGGGGAUUUUCUCCUGAGAAGCUUAUUCAAGGGCUUUUUAUUGUUGGUUUUAUUGUUGGUUUCUAUAUUCCCCUCUUAAAUACAAGCCGACACUAAUGUGACACUGAUAAUAUUGGAUUAUUAUCAUAGUGUAUUAUACAAUAAUUAAAAUAUCGUGUCGAUGUCCGGCUAUAUAUAUAUAUAUAAUAUAUAUAUAUAUAUAUAUAUAUAGUAUAUAUAUAUAUAUACUAUAUAUAGAAUUAUAAUAUAUAAUGCUCGGGGUUACUUCAUUAUUGAUUUUUAAAAAAUUGAUUUGCGUCAAAAAAAGAAUCGGACGGAUGAAUCUGCUUAUUUGAUUUGUUAAAUGUCAAUUAAAAUCUUUUCAGUGUGCUAUUUAAUAUUUAUUAUUUUUCACUUGCAAUAUUUCAAAUAUUUUUUUUAUAAUAUCUAUGUAAUAAUUUUUCUUCUCAUAUAAUUCUUACUUUUUAUUUUCGGUUUCUUUUAUUAUUUUUUGUUGAGUUGUGAUUCCAUUUUAAAUAUUUUUUAAUGUGUUUUUUAUAUUAUUAAGUCUAAUCAAAUAUGGUUAUAUUUUUUUUUCUUCUUUACAUUCAUAUUUAUUUAUUUAAUUUGUAAAUUUUUAUUAAAAUAUUUUUUUUCGCUGCAUCGCGCGGGUCACUACACUAGUAUACUAUUUAUGAGAAAAGGUGACCUUCACUCAUAAUAAAGAAAAAUCUAAAUAAAGUAAGGCUAAAAAGAAGAAAAGAGGAGGCACGCAAAAAACUCAUAUACCUCUUUAUACUUGUUUAUUUAUAGCAGCACUACUUUUCUUCGAUAAACUACAAAUGUAAAUUUAAUAUUGAGUACUGAAAUCGAAUGAGAUUGUGAAGAAAGCAAAUGUUAUUUAAAAUAGAUCCUAAUAUAAUAUAUUUUCUACUAAUUAUUACUUUCUUAUCAUGUAUUUUGCAACAAUAAUAUACCAUUUAUCAAGGCGACCUUCAUUUAUAAUAAAAAUUUUAAAUAAAACAUGACUAAAAAGAAGAAAAGAAGACACACACAAAAAACUCAUAUACCAUUUUGUAUUUUUCAAAAUAGAGAAACUAAUUACGAGAUUAUGGCACCCAGAAAAUUAAGGAGGUGAAAAUGUACUACUACUACUACCUGUGCUAGAAUGAGGGUGGCCGCGCGCCGCCCUCCUGCAGCUCUUGAAAACGUGCGUAAUAGACUAGACGGCCUCAUCUUUCCGGGAAGGAGGGAGAGGGUGGCUGGGAGUGCAACGGAAGACUGAGCUGCUGCUGCUGCGGACGGUGGGAGUUCUCUUUUUUCUUCGUGGAGUUUUGAGUAACUAUCCCAGUGGGGAGGUGGGGUGUGAAAGAAAAGAGCAGGCUAAUAAAUAGGGGAAAGAUUAAAUAAAAUAUUAUUUUAUGUGAGCUUGGAGAAAAGUGGAGCACAGCUUUAAAACAAAAGACUCCCGCAACAAGACAAUUCACUGCUCUCUCCACAGGGAUUGAGCAGGAAGUAAUAAUUAGAUGCACCCGGUGCACUGGCAGCAGAUGCACCAUACACCCUUAUAUAUAUAUUCUAUAUAUAUAUAGAGAGAGAGUUGAGCUAGAAUACUCUCAAAAGCACCAAGGGGUUGGUAUUUUUAAGUUUUUAGCCCUUAGAUGGAGAGAUGUAGGGUUGAGAUGAUGGUGGUAGGUGGUGGUAAGUAGAAUAGUAUUUAAUCCAAAGGUUAUUAGUAAUCAAAGAGUAAAUCCAAAGACUAAAAACAAAAGAGCACAAAAGGGUUGGUGCUUUUGAGAAUAUUCUAGCUCAAUUAAAUAUAUAUAUAUAUAUAUAUAGAGAGAGAGAGAGAGAGAGAGAGAGAGAGAGAGUAGGUCUUGUGUGCUAUUAGGAGCACGAAGCCCUCCUUGUUCCUAAGCCGUUUUCGAUCAUGAAGCUUCCGAAUCAACGAUUGGCUGCGUUAGACUUAAUCUAACCUAUUUGAAAUAUCUAGAAAAUAAAUUUUGCGAUUUUUCGAUAUCAUUUACCUAGCGAUCGAAAUGGUUCAAAAUCAAAGGCUGAAAAUAAAAAUUUCAUAAAAAGUGGUGAUAUAUCACUAAAAUUUUCGAUCGGAGAUAUUAAUCUUGCUGUAAAUAGUAUAAAAAAUUUUCUAUCAAAAUUUUAUCUGAUUUGAAUACUUCUACACCGUUAAACAUGCAAAUGGUAUACAUCAACCAUUAAAAAUUUUGACGCUAUAUUAAAUCUAACGAAGCCGAUCGUCGAUUUGAAAACUCCAUCAUCAAAAACGGCUUAGGAGGACGGAGGGCUCCGUGCUCCUGAUAGCAUACAAGACCUACUCUAUAUAUAUAUAUAUAUAUAUAUAUAUAUAUAUAUAUAUAUAUAUAUAUAUAUAUAUAUAUAUUCAAUCUUUUAAUUAAAGGGUUUAGAUUACAGGGGUAGAGUUUAGAUUAUAAGGUUUAGGUAUUAGGUUUUUUUAGCCCUUAUUUGGUUGGGGGUUAAGGGGUGGAAUAACCCCUUAACCCCCAUUUUAUCCCCAAACAUCCCAAAAAAUAGGUGGGGUUAGCUAACCCCACCUAACUCCACCUUAAAUAAAUUAUCCCGGGUUAGCUAAUCCCACCUAACCCCACCAAACUUCAACCAAAUACUAUUUUCUAUUCAUAAUAAUCCACUAUCUUUCUUAUCACACCUACUCCAACCAAUCAUUAUCCUUCUUUAUCAAUCAUUAUCUUCUUAUCCCACCUACCCAACCAAACACUAUUUUUCAUUAUUCUAGACUAACUCCAACCCGCAACCAAACAUAAAAAAACUUUAACCCCACUUUAACCCUGAACUUAACUCUAUGUAUGGAAUAGCUACUUUUUCCUUAACUCUGAACCAAACGGAGGCUUAGGGUUUAGAAUAUAGGGUUUUUGAGUUUUAACUUUAAAAAUAUUAUAUAUUAUAUUUAUACAAUCAAAUAAAACUCUAAGCUCUAAAUACCUAAACCUUAAUCUGUAUCCUAAACCCCAGAAUGUAAAUUCUAUAUCUUAAAAAAUUAUAACAAAAGUUACUUGCAUCAGGUGCACCCAAUGUGCUCACAGCAAGGGGGGAACUGCGCCAAAGGACUUUUGGCCCUUUAAAGCUGCUUUUUUUUUUGCCCUUUUCUUUUAUCAGAUUUUAUACAUCCCAAAGCUCAAAAUUAUAUUAAAUUUAAUAAUUUAUUAGUAUUUAACUGUUAAUUACUCUAGGUUUAUUUACAUCAAAUUAAUUAAUUAAAAUUAUCAAAUUAGAUAAAAUUGCAAAUGAAUUUAAUAAAAUUUUAUUUUUUUCCGGACUACAAUUACUUAUUUCUAUUAAAAUAAAAACAACACAAAAGGUAGUCGGUCCUCUAUGGUAGUGGAAAAGACAAACUGUUUUUCUUAAAAGUGAUUACAAAAUAAACUGCUAUUUGCUUCCUUGCUCUUCCUUAUGAAUCAAAGGAUUUUAUUUUAAAUAUAAUUGCCUAUAUACCCUUCAUACGUUGAAAAAUAUCCGAUUUAUCUUUCUUCUUUUUUUUUUAACUACUCCUUAUAUGUUUCACCGUUAUUGCAAAAUAUCCCGGCAGUUAUCUCCUAUUAAGUUAACUUGGGUUAAACGUGAGUUAAAUAUCUACCGCAGCUAAAAAAUAUAAAAUACCAAUUUUGCACUUAACUUAAGGACAAAUAAGAAAUGUUGGUGACGGUAAAGGGUAUAUUUGAAAAGACCAAAAGUCAAAAUACUUUUUGUGCCUCUGAAUUUAAGGGCAAAUAAGAAAGUCGGUGAUUGUGGAAGGAUAUAUUUGAAAUGGCAAAAUAAUAAUUUUACAGAGAUAACAGAGUUCAUUAAUAGAUUUUAACUUUUUAGGGAUAUAUUAGAAAUAUGUUGGAACAUAGAAAGGAUAUUUUCAAUAUUAACCUUUUAAGAAAGGUAAAUCAAAAAGUCAGAAACUUUUCAGAGGUAUAUAAACAACUGCCCCUUUAUUUUACCACCUUAUAGUCUAAUAAUUAGUACACUUAUAUACUAUUAUUUUAUUUCUAUUCAAGCUUCAAAACACGUCAGUGAGUAGGAUAGUAAAACCAUACAUUUUAGAAAACAUAGUUAUAAAUAUAAAUUACCCAUCAUUUCAAAUACAAGUGACAAAAAAUUUGAUACCGGUUAGUUUGGUUUAUAUUUCCAGCUUUAUUUAUUUUUAAAAACAAAUAAACGAAGUGAGUAAUGUACUACAUUUUUCUCAAAAAAUUAAUAAUUAUAAGUGCAAAUUAGAAAAUAAUAAAUUAAUAAAAUGAUAAAUUGAUGGACCACAAUUUUAAUUUUAUUAACUAAAUAAUAAUAUAUAGUUCAUGAACAUAAGAGAUCAUAAAUAUUAGUAACAAUAACCCGACUAAAACAUCUUGAGAAAAUUAUUAAUAAAUUUGAUUAGCUUUCAUUCUAUUUAACUUAAAUUACUUAGUUUAUAAUAUUAAAUUUAAAAUUUAAGAAGCUUCCUAUAAAAAAUAGUAAAAGUGAGAAAGCUAUUUAAAUAGACCUACCGGGAGGGUUUUCAUUUACUUUUAUUAGGGUCCGUUUAAUUCAGCGUAAAAUCAUAAAAGAUAAUUUUUCGUAAAAAAAUUUUUUUGUGAAAAAAUAAAAUUUUAUAUUUUCUAGUAUUUAGUUUGUAGGAUUCUUUUUCACUAACAUUUACUUGGUUAAAAGAAAAAAAACAUAUUUAUUUGUUUUUUGACACUGUACAAAAUCUUCAUUUAUCUUUGACAUUGCACAUCAAAUUGCGUUUUUUUUUUUUUUUUUUUUUUGAUUCAUUAAGAUGCAGUUUAGUUGGGGAGUGAUAGUGGAUUGUGAGAAGAAUACUCACAUUUAUCUAAUAUUUAGAAUUAGGCUGGAAUACUAUUAAUAGUAAAACGUUCUUUUUGCUAUCAAAUUUUUAAUCCUUGAAUGAAAAAUUAUAAGGUCAGAAUGAUAUUAGUCGGUUAGAGUUGAGUGAUCCCUCUAGGGUUGAGUGGUCUCCACCGGAUUAUAGUAUUUAAUCUAAUGGUUAGAAAUAAUGAAAAGAGUUGAUCCAAAGGCUAAAAAACUGAUAGUAAUAAUAGAAUUUUGCUACUAAUAAUAGCCCAGUCCAACUCCUAAUAUUUAUGUCAAAAAUCCCUGUUUUCUCUCUUAAAAUCUAACUUAUGUAUUUACAGUUCAUGCUGAGUUGUCAUUUCUGUAACAAAACUUGCUUUUGUUCGCUGAGGUCCUGUUUGGAUGUUGGGACAUGACAUAAGGUUCUAAUUAUGAUUUUCAAUAUGGCAUAUUUCACCUUUGAGGUGAUUUAUUUCCUUGGAUUUUGGGAUAUUCAACCUUCUUACACUUUUAGCCAGUUUUCUCUGUUCUUCUCGACAACAAACUAAUAAAUGGACCUUCAGUAACAAAGGGACAUUUGUCAGAUGCGGCCUAAAAACAGGUCUGAUAGUAGAGUACUAAAAAAAUAUCAGUUUUAAGCAACUGGUGCCAAUUUACCAAGAUGACAAUAGGUAGUUAAUUUACUUGAAAAUGUUGGCUUAAGCAUGGUUGUUUAGUAGAGGUUGUGUCUUGUAAUCAUCUGGUAUUUCUCGUCAAGGCCAUCUAUUAUCAUGACUGUUCCAUUACUAUUUUACCAUCUCUUUUGUCAAGUAUUUAGAAGUACAUAGGCAUAUCUAAAAUAGACAUAUCUAAAAUACACAUAUAUGUUCUGACUAUAAGAUUCAAUCAUACACAAAUUCACAUACACAUUUAUGUGAAAUUCACAUACAUGUGAGGUUUCGCCGAUUGAGUACAAUCGGGUGAAGGAGACCUUUAGAGCCUUAGAUUUUAAAAAUCAGUUGAUGAAGAAGUUCUAGAGUGCUAAUCAGAUGGAGUGGAAAUGAUUGGAGGAUUGCCACAUGGUCUGUUGUAGAAUCAGAGCUAGAUGUCCGCACAUUCUGAGGUGAGAAAAAUGGUGUGUAUAAUAGAGAAAACAUAAAACUGGCUUAUAUCGCAAAUACUGAUAAAUUUUCUCCUACAAAAAAGGAAAAAAGAAUUUUUUACUUUAUUCUCUAAUAUUCCCUAAUAUUUUUUUUGCAAUCAAGUUCUCACUUCUUCUUGAUUUUAUUGCAAUUAUGUCCCAACUGUUAAACCCUUAUGGUUUCACACUUUCUCGCUUUUGUACCAUGGGGUUUAAAAUGUAAUCAAUAUAGUACCCUAUGGUUUAAAGUGUAUUAAUUUAUCCCCUUAUUUUGGGGGUUGUAGGGCUCACAUGCAAUUUUUUUUACGAAUUAAUCUCAUAUUGGUCACAACCUUUUCACUAUUUUCUUAUUUUGGUUCUCAAUCUUUUUUUUUUUUAAUCAAAUUUUUGAAUCUCUUGAUUUAAUCACAAUAAAAUGACACCGUUAAAAAAGGUUUUAGAAUUAACGAUGUUAUCAUACCAUCGCCUAUAUAUCCUUUUUUUGCAUGUCAAUUAUAGCCUAUAAACUUUAUUUUUCACAGUAGUCCACCAAAAAAAAAUUCAAACUUUUAAAUUCAAAUCCGGAAUUAAUCUUAAAAUUAAUCUUAAAAUAAAGUCUUCCCUUAUUUUGGGGGGUUGUGCUUCUGAUAAUUACCUACUGAUUUCUUCAUUAAUUUAAAAUUUAGAAAUCAAAUACUUUAUUAGUUAUAUGUGUAACAAUAAAAGUUAAUGAGGUCACAAUAAAGACGUUGUCGCUAAGAAUACCAAAAAUAAUACUUUCACUCCACUUUUUUUUUUCUUUUCUUUUUUUUUUUUGUUGUAAAGUAUGAAAUAGAAAAAUAUUAUUUAUCUUUUUUAAUACUGUAAUAAACUUUUGUUUUAUUUUAAACUGAUUUAUUCAUUUUGCUUAUUAGGUUUAAAUAUUUUUAAAAAGAAAAAUACUUUAAUUUCAUUCUUUAAUUUAUUCUUUAAUUUUUAAUUAUUCAAUACUGAAAUAAAUAAUAUUUAAAAAUAGUAAUGCAUAAUAGAAAAAAAUUGAUAUUAAUAGUUAUAAUAAUUUACUAUUAUAUUGUCUUCCCGCCGCAAUAUUUUAAGUAUUUGAUUUAGAUAUUUUCAAAAAUAAUAUAUUUCAAUUUUAAUUUUUAAUUUUUAAUUGUUCAGUAUUGUUUGCUGCGUAGCGCGGGUUUCUUAACUAGUACUUAUUUUGUCAUAAAUUUUGAAAUUUCUUUUAUACAUAUUAUCUGUUUAUAGAAUAAGCUUGAUUAUGAAUACAUGUUAGAAAUGUGAAGCCCUACUCAAAUUGUAUAUUUUGCAUAUAAUAUAUUUAUAAUAUAAUUAAGCUUUAAACUAUACAUAAAUAAAUAUUUGUGUAAUGACUAAUGAGUACGACAAAGUACAGGAGUCUUUGUGCUUUACGAUUAAACAUUUGAUUCCAUAAUCGGCUCUGUUAAGCAUAAUUUACGCUAUUAGUACUAUCUAAAAAUUAAUUUUUAUAAUUUUUUGAUAUUAUUUAUUCAGUAAUUAAAAAAUCGUAAAAAUAAUUUUUAAUGACCAAUACGGGAGUCUUGUAAGUUCAAUAAUAUAAAUCAAUCCAAAUUAGGUGAAAUUUUGAUAUAAAAUUUAUAUAAUUUAAGUAAAUUUACCCCUAUUUUUUAUGAAAUUUUUAUUUUUUACUGUUUAUUUUGAGGUUAUUUUUUUUGUUGGGAAAAUAAAAAAAAAUUUAUGCCAUUAUAGUAUAUACAAAUUUAAAGACUCUUUAUUUUGAGGUUACUUUAUUAUAUUUCACACAUUUUUCCAACCAAACACAAUGAUCUCCCAGGAAACCAGGAAACUGCAAUCUCGGUUAAAAUGUGCGGAGGCCCCUUGUAUUAUACACUCUUUGAAAUUGGCCCCCCAAACUUUUAAUUUUUGGGUAAACUACAAAUACCACCCCUGUGGUUUAGCACUUUCUCACCUUAGUACCAUGUGGUUUAAAGUGUAUCAAGUUAGUGUCCUGUGGUUCCAUUUUUAUUUUUUUCGUUAGCUUUUCUGUUAGUAUUUCGUUAAAUUAUAUACAAAAAAACUUUAGAUAUCCCACCUAGAUUUAUUGAAUAUUCACUUUAGUAUCCUUUGAUUUUAACUUUGUCACUGAUUUAACGAAAAAAUUAGUAGAAUCAAUAAUAAAAAGAUAAAAAUAAAAUCACAUGGCACUAAAUUGAUACACUUUAAACUAUAGGGUACUAAAGUGAAAAAGUGUGAAACCACAGGGGUGGUAUUUGAAGUUUUUCCUAAUUUUUUUUAUCAACACUUUUUGUCCUAUCAACAUGUAUUAAUCACACCGCGAAAUUUCAUCGUCUUAACCGUAAAUUAUUAUAUGAGAGUCACGAGAAGCAAAAAAGUGAUUGAGAUUGGCAAUAACGAAACGGAUGAGCCGAUGCCUGCAACGGUGGUAGCAAUGAUAGAUACAAAUAAAAGUUGAGCUCCUUUUGUUACGUAGUUAUUGAUUGUGAAGAUAAAAAUAAAUUUUUAUAUUUUUUAAAAAAAUUAAAGAAAUAAAAGUUGAGGGAGCGAUUUCAAAUGCUGGGAUAGUAGAGAGGUCUCCCUAUAUUUUUAUAUAUUUUUGUUCUUAAUUUAAUUUUUUAAAAUAAGUUGGUUUGUUGGAUUUGAAAGGAGAGCUUAGAUUAUUUAUAUACCACCUACUAACACCUCAUUCUAUACUUUAUACUUUUAUAUGUAGGAUAUUAUUACGGAUACAAAUGGAUCCGGAUUUGUGGAGAUUUGCACCACUUCGUUCUGAACCGGACAACACAUAUUUUAAAAAAAUUGUUCGGAAUCUAUUUGAAUCUGCUAAGAAAUAGAGCGGAAGGCAGGGAUACAUUUAUUUCUCUGAUCUGUCUCGAUCCGCUCUAAAAGAAAAAGAAUAAAAUUUAAUCGGUCGUGAAUCUGUCUUUUACUGGUUCUGUCUCGUUUGCAUCCCUAAAUAUAAGUAAUAGGUGCCACAUCAGCUUGUAAUGAGCCUAGUGAUUGGGCCAACACAUUCAUCACUUAGCUCACCAACCAUCUACUAUUAUUGUGAACUAAAUUUAAAAAAAAAAGUACUUACAGAGAAAAACUUUUUCACUCCUCUUUUAUUUUUGGUGAAACAAGCAUAUGCAGAAUCACAUAAGCAAAUUGAAAUUUAUCCUUUAAAUUUUUAUUAGCUAAACUACAAAAAAUUUACCUAUAUAUACCCUUUUUUUUCACUUUUGUAUCAUAAAUUUCAAAAAAUUAUAUUUUUUCUUUUUAAAAUUAAAAAAAUAUUUUUGGAGGAUUACGACGUUAAUAAAGAGCAAAAUAAACCAAAUUACCUUUACUUAUUAUAUAAAAAAUAAUUUUGAAUAUAUUUUUAAAUUUUAAGGAUAUUUUUGGUGUCGUAGAAAUCCGCCACGCGGAUUCUCGUCGGACGGAAAAGCGUCAACUCACACUCUUCGCGCGUAAAACGUGUAUUUUAAGAUAGAGGCAAUUGCUUAUAUGCCCCUGAAAAAUUUUCGACUUUUCGAUUUAUUCCUCUUAGAAGGCUAAUAUUGAAAAUACCUUUUCUACGUUCCAACUAGGGAUGUCAAUGGGUAUGGAUAUUCGAAAUUUUAUCUGAACCCGAACCCGAAUGAAACAGAUAUAUUCGAUGGCUAUGGAUAUGGAUUUGGAUAUGGAUAUAAAAAAUAGAAACCCGACGGAUAUGGAUUUGGAUAUGGAUUUUGAUUGUACCCUAUCUGAAUCCGAACCCGACCUGAACCCGAACCGAACCUGAAUUUAUUUUGUAUUAUAUAUAAUAUAUAUAUAAAAAUUUGAUGUUAUAUUUGAAUUUAUAUUUUAAAAAUUUAGAUUUAAUAUAAUAUUCGGGUUCAAAUUUUCGGGUUCGGGUUCAGGUUCGGGUUUCAGAUUUUUGGUAGGGUUCGGGUUUGGAUAUGGAUUUUUAAAAUCCGUCAGGUUCGGGUUCGGGUUUUUAAAAAUCUGCCCCGAAUCCGACCCGUUGGCAUCUCUAGUUCCAACCUAUUUCUAAUAUAUCCCUAGAGUUAAAAUAUGUUAAUUAACUCUAUUAUCUCUGUAAAAUUACUAUUUUGCUUUUUCAAAUAUAUCCUUUCAUCAUCACUGACUUUCUUAUUUGACCUCAAAGUCAGGGGCACAAAAACUAUUUUGACUUUUCAUCUUUUUCAAUAUAUCCCUCUACCGUCACCAAUAUUUCUUAUUUGCCCUUAAGUUAAGGGUAAAAUUGACAUUUUAAUUUUUUUAAACUGUGGUAGAUAUUUAACUCACGUUUAGCCCAAGUUAACUUAACAGGAGAUAACUGCGGGGGUAUUUUGUAAUAACGGUGAAACAUAUGAGAGGUAUUUUAGAAAGAACAAAAAAAAAGAGAUAAAUUAGAUAUUUUCAAAAGUAUGAGGGGUAUAUAGGCAAUUACCCUUUAAAAGGGCAGUAAAAUGAAUGGAUAGCUCCUACACAAUCCCAAUAUUGCAACUUGCUACCUAUAUAGUUUACUUAACAUUUUAGUCCCCAAAUUUUGAUACACAUCUACUUAAAUUGCUAAUAAGUUGUUGGGUAACCUUCAAUUUGCCUCCUGUAAUUUAGUACUUUGUUAUUUUACCACAUUAUAGUUCAAAUAUUAUACUUAUCAAUUCUAUAAUUUUAUUUUUAUUUUAUUGAAAAAAAAUCUAACGUUAAUUAGAACAGUCUAAUAAACUUUUACAAAAAUCAAUCGGAUGAUAAUAUCCAAGAGAUACAUUAGUUAUAUCAUUAUUUAAAGAUAAUACGGUAGCUGAAUUAGGUAUAUUUUUACGAAACAAUCUAAUUAAACAAAAAGUUCAGUCGCUUACUUGAAAUAAUUUGAAAUUCCUAAUCUUUUGGGCAUAUAGAUUGUAUCAAUUCUAAUUUUACCGCCAUCAAUGUCGUUUUCUGUUCUUAAAACUAUUUCAUUCUCGCACAUAUUGUUUAUAGUCUCUUUUGAAGAGAACGCGUUACUAGACUUUUUUAAAAAUUUAAAAUGUCAAUGCGAAGAUUGAUUAAGAAUUAUUGGAUCAUGACUGCGAUCUAUAUGAGUAAGCAAUACUUUAUUGGAGCUAACGUGACCUAUUUUAUUAUAAUUAAUAAAAAUUUAAAUUAUUAAAAUCUAAAUAAAAUAAAAUAUAAUGGUUAAAAAUUUGGCAAAAAAAAGAGGAAUAAUCGCAGAUGACUCCCUGCAAAGGUGAAGAAUAAUUGACAAAAAAAAAAAGGAUAAUUGACAAACAAAAAAGAUUAAGAACUAAAGUGAGAAAUUGGUAACAUGUAGGGGCCAAAGUGCAAUUUAUCCAAAAUUAAAAAAAAAACCGUCUCUUUCGCUCUUCUUUCGCGCGCCUUCCCCUUCUCUCUUCUUCUUCUUCUUCUUCUUCCUCACUCCCCCUCUCUUCUCUCGUCCUCCCUUGUUAACAAUAAUAAUAAUAAUAAUAAUAAUAAUAAUAAUACCCGUUAUUUUCCCCUCCCGUUUCGGUUUCGCUUCUUCUUCUUCUUCGCCCCCUUCCGAAACCCGUUACGUUUCGGUUGCGGUGUAACUCGCUCCGUUCCGAGAACGGAAACAUACGGCGCAAAAGAGCUCCUAGGGUUAGGGUUAGGGUUUGGGUUUGGGUUUUAUCUUCGUCUCUGAUGCCGGAGAUCGCCGGAGAUGAUGGCGCUUGACGUCGUCGUCGUCUGCGGCGGCGGAGGAGGAGGACGAGGAGGAGGAGGAGGAGGAGGAGGAGGGGGAUGGGGUGCGGGAGCUCGCGGGCGGAGGAGUCGGCGGCGGUGGUGCUGUGCCGCGACCGCGCGCGGCUGAUCCGCGCGGCGCGCGACCGCCGCUACGCCCUCGCCGCGGCCCACGCCGCCUACUUCCGCUCCCUCUCCGCCAUGGGCGACGCCCUCAGCCGCUUCGUCGCCGAGGAGCUCACCGAGGUCGCCUCCUCGUCGUCUGCCCCGACCCUCACCCUCCCCCCCUCCCAGGGCAAGGCCAAAUCCAUGUCCAAAUCCAAAUCCAAGCCCUCCUCCGCCUCCUCCAAUGGCGGCGGCGGCCUCAGCAUCUCGUCAUCGGUGACGCCGCUCUCGCACGCCCUCUCGAUAACGGAGGGAUCGCGAUCGCACAUCUCCUCCUCCUCCUUGGUUUCGAGCCCUAGGAAAGCUCGGAAAGAGAUGCCUUCGCCUUUGCAUUCACCUUCCCCUUCUCCUCCUCCUCCUCGUCGAUCGCCGAUUCCAAACCCUAAAGACCACGAAAUGUCGUACAACGAGCUGAAUCCGCCCUUUACUGGGUAUCUCUAUGGUUAUAAUUAUCCCUAUGAUCUCCCUUUUGGAUCGGAGAGAGAAAACCCAAAUUACUACAACAAGCCUUCCUCUCCGCCACAGCCAGCGGCACCAGCGCCAGCAUCGGCACCUCCAUCUACUCCGCCACCGCCGGCUCUAGAGGUUUCAGCAUGGGAUUUCUUCGAUCCGUUCACUUCGUAUGAUCAAUUCGUUGCGGAUUACGCACAGGGGAGGUACGGAUUCAGUUCUUACAGUUCUAGCCCUAAUUCGAGUGUGGUGAGGGAGAAAGAAGGGAUUCCCGAUUUAGAAACGGAGAUGGAGGUGGAGAAGGAGAAGAGAGUUGUCGAUGCGAGGGUUUCGGUGGAAUCCACACAAGAGAAGGAUAGUAAAGUUGAUAUGGAGGAGAGAGAUAGUAAGAGUAGUUUAACAUCUAUCGAAGAUAGAAGCAGCGGAGAGGAAGAAGGAUCGAAUGAGAAGAAGAAAGGAGUGACCUUCGGAGAGGAUAAAUCUUUGGACUUUGAGAGCGGGGAAAGUAACGAGAAGUCGAUCUCCACCUUUUCGAGUAGUGGAGUAGUGUUAUCGGUUCACGGGACGAGAGGUAUCAUGGAGGCUGUGAGGGAAAUCACGGAGCAGUUUGAAUUCGCUUCUGAUUGUGGCGAGGAGGUUUCGAGGAUGCUUGAGGUCGGGAAGGCGCAGUACCGAAUGAGAAGUAGAAUUCUUACAUGUGGGUAUUGCAUUUUUGUUUUCCUUUUCUUGUUUUUCCUGUUUUAUAUUAGCUUUGAAGCAUCUUGAUUUAGUUGUUGCUGGUAAAUGCUGAUUAUAAAUAAGAUGGAGGGGAAUGAGGUUUUGUCUUUUCAGCUUGCUGUAGGAUGAGCUCAGGAGAAUUGCGGUGAAGGGCGAGGAGGUGCUGUUUUAGUAAAGAUUUCUUCUAUGAUUUAUUAUUUUGUUAUGUGGAAUAUUUCUAUAGAAUUAUGAACUCAAUUUCCAAACUCAUAGCAUAAUCUAGCCUUUUAUCCAUCUUGAGCAAUUAUUCCAAAUUUUAGAUAAGUACAAUAAUAGAUUUUUUUAUUAUUUAUUUUUUUUUUUUUUGUGAAUGUUCAAUUGAUCUUUUAUCAACGAAAGACUCGUGUUUGAAAUCUAGUUUGACUUACUAUAGAGUAGAAUGGUCCUUGUAUUUUCUUAAUUGUUGGACACCUCUUCCUCAUUAUACAUUCAACUUUUUCGCCAAGGGAGUGUUUGGUUCCUCUGAAAAGUGUGGAAAACUAUUUUCCAAAAAAAAAAAAUUUCAUGCAAACCACUCUUUCUCACAAUUUUAGUUUCCCGAAUAAAAAAUUCGUAAAACGAAAACACUACUUUUCCAUAAAACCUGGAAUUUUUUUUUUUUCCAGGCAAACUAUUUUUCCUAGAAAUCAAACGGACGAAAAAUACUAUUCUAGCGAAAAAAUUAUUUUCUGCGAUUUUUCCCGGAAAACCAAACACCCCCUCAAUGUUUUCUCACACAUCCAAAAUUAGUAGUUUUCGCAUUGUUUUUUUUUUUCUCCCCCUUUUUGUUAUCUCUGUCUGCAAUUAGUGGUCAAAUACUAAAGCGGUAAAGUAUAAUUUCUUUUGGAGAAUCUACUAUAUCAAAUAGAGUACUUUAGAAUCAGUGAAUUUUGUAAAUCUUGGUGCAGUUAUCUUUUCCAGGAUUUUGGAUCCCAUGGCUCUGACCAUAUUGAGUUUUCCACGCCUUUCUUUCAAGCAAUUCGGACCAUCAAGUGCAUCAAGUAGCACUACUAGCAAUUAUGAGCCAGAAAAGUACACUGGUAUGAAGUCCGGCAACCUCUCAUCAACGUUGGAGAAAUUAUAUUUAUGGGAGAAGAAACUGUGUAAGGAAGUUAAGGUAUACAGAAAUAUUCUUUUUUGAUUGUGUAGGUAACUAAUCGAAGCAAUUCUGUUACCUUGCAUGUUUAUUGGUAAUUCCAAUGAGUGAAGAUGCUGUUUUUGAACUCUAAACUUUUGAGUUGAUAAAAACAAUAUUUUGUAAAAGACUAUGCUUUAGUUUGUCGCUUUACUGAUAAUUUAAUAUGUUAUAGCUUUUAAUGUAAAACACAUUGUUCUUUAGUAACUACCGCUUACCGACUCACACCUUUAUUUUGUAAUAUAUAAAAUUUUGAAGCUAUAAGCAUGGAUUGCAAUAACUAUUGAACAUAAUGACUCAGAUAUUGACCUUGAUAAUGCAAAUUCACUUCAGCAGAUUAUAAUUUGUAGUGAAAAGGAAGGAAAAACUUUCCCCCUGUUUGACGUGGUCGGAGUUUUUGCGAAAGUGCUGUUUUAGUGAAACUGUUUGAAGAUGCUCUAGCUGCUUUUUCAGUAGUUUUUCCUCAACAGAUUUUUUUUUGUUGUAGUAGAAGUAAAAACUUUAAAUUAGAGAUUCUACAUUAAAAUUCAGAAAGUUUAUUUCAAUUUUCUGUGCUAGCAAAAUGUUGGUUUCUAGAAGUUUUUGCUCUCUGGAAUAGAGCCAAUCCAAACAGGCACUUUGUGAAGAACAUGCACUAUUCGAUUUGUAGUCAUUGGUCAACCUAUUUGUUAAGAUUUGCUUAGAUUGUUGUUCUAGGAUGAAGAAAAGCUUCGGCUCAUCUAUGAGAAAAAGUACACGCAGCUAAUGUCUUUGGACAAAGGAGGAGCAGAGUUUUAUGAGAUUGAUUACACACGCGCAAUGAUGCAAAAGUUGUGCACAAAGAUAGGUGUUAUCGUUAAAUCAAUUGAUGCCAUUUCAGCUAGGAUGCAGCAGAUAAGAGAUGAAGAACUGCAACCCCAACUUGCAGAACUAAUCCAAGGGUAUGAAUUUUCUUAACACCUUGAUUAAAAAUUCCAUAUUUAUCUAUCUAUUUGUUAGCUUGUAUAUAUUGAUAUCUCAUAUUAGUAACCUAUUUCCUUUUAUUCAAACAACGUUAAAGAGACCAUUUCAAUCAAGUCAAAGGUCUUAAAGUUGACUUUUAGUGUGAAAUUCUUUGAAGUAAACGGAAACAGAUUAGUAAUUUUACAAUAGAUCGGAUAAUGGUCAUAUUGUUAGAUGAGUUAGAUUAUUUUGUCGGUCAUGACUAAGUGCAAUUUAGGUGAACAUUCAGCGACUAAAGUGUUUGAGUGUAAAGUAUAGGGACUAAGUGUUGGGACUUAAGUCCUUCAAAGCUUGGAAUUUGCGUGAUGUUCCUUUAAAUAAUUCUUUGGUACCACAUUUUCUUAAUUGUCUUAGUCCGCAUUCUUGAGUGCAGUUCGAUAAGAAUGUGGGUGUACGUUUUGGACUGCCAUCAAAAACAGUUACAAGCGUUAAUCGACAGCAAAAGCCAUCACCUCAAGGCAAAAGCUGGAGGCGAAAGAAGUUCUGUUGCUAGGGCUACCAUGGAACUGGAGCUUCAGCUCAGGAACUGGUGUCACUGUUUCAUAAAUUGGUUCGAGACCCAGAAAUCUUACAUCGAAGUCCUCAAUAAAUGGUUAAUAAAAUGGCUCCCCAAAGUGCAGGAAGAAGAAACACCAGAUGGGGUCCCGCCGUUUUCCCCGAGCAAAUUUGGGGCUCCUCCAGUGUUUAUCAUCUGCAACGAUUGGUCGCAAGCAAUAGAAAGGAUCUCAGAGAACAACGUGGUUAACACAAUGAACGUUUUUAGUUCAUUUAUGCAUCAGCUUAGGGUUAGUCAAGAAGAGGAAUACCGUCGAAAGCUAAAGGUAGACUAUCUCUCCAUGGUUUAUGACAAAAGGCUAAAAUCUUUCCAGAAGGAAACUCAGUUUAAGGAGAAUUUGAAUGUUGUUUCUGUUUCUGAAAAUGGUACCGAAUAUCUUGAUGAUCAUACGAUGGUUUUAGACUCGGUGAGGAAAAGAAGGGAUGAGGAGAUAGAAAAACAUGAGGAGGCAAUACAAAGAGUUCAUCAUGCCGCUUCAAGCUCUUUGCGAAGUGGGUUAGUUCCUAUAUUUGAAGCAUUGGAGAAUUUCUUUAUGGAGAACUUGAAGGCGUAUGAGGGAAUUAGAAUCGCAAAUGAAAGUGGAGAUUCAUAGUACACACCAUGAUGACAGCUUUGGCCGAAUUGAAUUAGGUUACUGAUUCUGCAAAGACUCAUUAUGGGCGCCAAAGAUAUUUGAAAUCAUUGAUUAGCUUUAGGGUUUAUUUAUCGAUUGGUUUGGCGAGAGCUUUUGUAGAAGUGUUGUUCAAAUAAUAGAGUUGUUCGAAGAAGCCUCAAUAACUUUUUUUGUUAAAAUCUCUUGAACAACUUCACACCGCAGCAAGCAGUACAAACUUAAGUUGAAGCUUGUGCGCCAUUCCCGACUCCAGACUUUUUACCGGCCAAACAUUGACGCUAAAUGAAUUUGUCUCAGAAACUGACAAAAGGGGCUUGUAAAUGCUUUUCCGGUGGAGGUUCUCACUUUUUCUUCUUUUAUUAUCGGAGGAGCAGAGUGCCUUUAGAUUUUUUUUUUAUUACUUGAAAGUAUCAAAGUGGUUGCAUUUGCAGAAUGUAAUCUCACAGUGGCCUUUAAUCAAGGCUGAGCCAUUUAGAUACAUAUUUUGCUCUUUUCGUUAGCAGAUGCAGUUUGUUUAUAUUUGCCUCCUGCAUUCAUUGAAAUUCAGAUAUUAUAAACAAAUACCAAAAAAAGGGAUUAAAUUUUAGUUUAUUUGCUAUUCUCUCAUGCAUACAAUUGGAGGAAUCUUGUUUAAACAAUAUACUUGAAAAAUCAUUAAUAUGUUGUUUAUAUUUUGUUCAUUUUUUGAGUUCUAUGUUUGAAAUUUGGUUGAUUCAAUCUGCUAUUCAACUGCGAAGUUUCAACUUGGUAAUUUUUUUUUAAUUUUUGAUGUUUAAUUUCAUUCUGUUUUCAUUUUUGUGAUAGUCUUAUAAAGAGACUCUUGCAGGUUAUUUUUGCAGAUCUGUACUUGCACAUUUCAUUGCUAUUUUUAGAAUUUUCAUUGUUCUAUCAUGUUUAAUUGAACCAUUCAUUACUUCAUUUUGAAAUUUUGAGUUGUUGCAAAAAUAUUGCUUGUUUCCUUGCUUUUUUCCUAAUCCAAGAUUUUGAUUGACCAAAUCAUAGAUUUGGUAGAUCCAGGGUUGCUUUCAUUUUUGAAAAUGUUAUAAAACAAGCAACAAGUUGUUCCUUUGUGUUAAUACCUAGAUGAGGCCAUUUUUGAAAGGCUAAAAUGCGUUUUACCCCCUUCAAUAUGUUCUUAUUGCACUAACUGUUUGUUAAAAAAAAUAUGCACUUAAUCUCUCUGGAAAUUUAUGUUGUUAGUAUUUAAUCUCUAUUAGAUAAAAAAAGUAUACACUUCAUCCAAGGAGAAAAAGAAAAGUAAACAAUAAAGGCAUAUUUGGUCAUUUUACUAAUUUUUUUUAACACUAUAAUCUGAUAGGAUAUUUUUGAUUUUUUGAGAGGGGGUUAAGUGCAUAUUUGAUAAGAUAUUUUUGAUUUUUUGAGAGGGGGGUUAAGUGUUUUUGAGAGGGGGGUUAAGUGCACAUAUGAUAAGAUAUUUUUGAUUUCUUGAGAUAGGGUUCAGUGCAUAUUUUUUAUAUCUAGAGAGUAAAAUACAACAUGCGAUAUAUUGAGGGGAAUUUGCAUUCACGCACACUAUCUCCAAUCACAACCUGUUUCCAUCUAAUGUGGCACUAUUGGAGCUAUUCCAAAACACACAUAAUUUUCAAUAAUCACAAUCUCUUUUCCAUCGGGAUCAUUUUCAAUCAAAAUUUCAUUUCUUUCUUAUGUGAUUUACUUUCAAUCACAAUUAUAUUUCCAUCUGAUGUAGGACUAUUAGAGUUAUUCCUAAUUACAACCCUAUUUUUAUCUUAUGUGGAAUUAUUAGGGACUUGUAGACUCUUCCUCUUUAAGCCCACUCCCAAUUUAAGGCUCUUGGGGUGGACGAUGUAAAGUCCUUGAGGUUGUUCUUAAUUACAACUCUAUUUUCAUCCGAGACUCGCAACCCCGAUGUGAGACUAUUGGGCCAACGCAAAGCCCUUGGAGUUAUUCCCAAUUACAAUCAUAUUUCCAUUCGAUGUAGGACUCAACCUCAUUUCUAUCCGAUAUAGGAUAUCAGGCCGAUGUAAGACCUUCGGGGUUAUUCCAAUUACAAUCUUAUUUAUAUCCAAUGUGGGACUAUUGAGUCGAUGUGAGACUAACGGGGUUAUUCCCCCAUAGUCUCCAAUGCAAAAUUUUAAGUUUGAAUACAUAUAUGCCAUGCCCUGUUCUUUUUCCUUUUUUUUAGCCCAAUCUUAUUCCCAAUAGUUCCAGCUUUGUGGGCUGUGGCCCAUAGUGUCCCAUUAGCAACCCUAGUUUUUCAUAUGUUCCAAUUGUAGGUUUAAAUUGUAUUAAGUUAGAGGCAAGGAUUAAAGUGGUCAUCGACACGGACCAUAUCCACCAUAUAGUAUUGUACCAGCAAAAUAUCGGCACGAUAUAGUCUUUAUGCCGACGGCACAACUCGAAACUCUAUAUUUUUGAAAUUAGUAAGUAAUUUUCUUAAUAAAGUUUAAGAGAUUUGAUAAAAAUACAUAAUAAAUAAUUGGCAUAUUUUAUUGCUAAAGAAAAUAAAUAUUUUUGUGACCGACACGUAUCGGCACGGCCUGGCAGGCACCUUGCCGUACCAUGCCGGCAGAUUUUUGGCAUGAUCCUAUACCACGACAUUUAAAUUCUUGGUUAGGGGAAUAUUUGGUUCACAAGGAAAUCAUGAAAAGCUGUUUUUUUCAAAAAAAAAAAGAAGUGAAAAGCUUUUUUUUUUUUUUCAUAGUUUUAAUUUUCUAAAAAAAAAAUCCAGAAAACAAAAAGGAGACUUUUUCAUGAAAUGUGGAAAGAACUUUCUCAAAAAAUUUAGUUUUUCUAGGAACCAAAUAGACAGAAAAUAUACUUCUAGUCAGAAAAGUAAUUUUCAGAUUUUUUUUUUUAGAAACCAAACUCUCAUGUUUUGUAUGCUUUUAUCUAAUUAUAUACAUGACUACAUUUGGAGCUAUAUUAGAUGAAUUUAGGGCGGGGUGGAUCAAUUUUUUCUCCGUCUCCCACCCUAAAUCCGUAUCGGAUCAUAAAAGUAGUCUCCUGAAUCUGAUAAUUCUAUAUUCCCAAAUUCAUUUGCAUCUAUUAUUAAAUUUAUUAAAAAUAUUUUUUGUGAACCAAACUCAGUAACUUCUUAUUCUCAAAUAUCUAAAUUGUGCGAACUAAAUGGAAAAACAGAAACAACCAAUAUCUGGUUCAAAUACGUGAGCAUCUUAUUCGACAUAUCUAUUCUAUUUACUCAAAAAACAUGUAGUAUCUGGUAGAUGAAUAAGGAGAUCAGAUGUCUAGAAUUGAUAUCAUAUUUGGUCUUUAAAUUAUUAUUUUUAGAAUAAAAUAAAUCAUUUCGUAGGUAAAAUAUAUUAUACUACCAAAGUCGGAAUUAGAAAAUCUUUUAAGGAAACUCUGGCAUCGAAUAUAUUAUCAUUAAAUGUUAUAUUCUGACCUUCAAAUAGAGCCCAAAGAAUCCCAUAUUCUUUGCUACCCAAAUUUUAGAGAAUCGAAUUCUCAAAAUUUCAAAUAAUUUUGCAAAGUGCAAACCAUGUAUAAACAUACAAAACUUAUCUGAACUAUAAACCAUUUUGAAUCAGCUAUUCAAAAUUUCAAAAUAUUGAUUUUACUACUCAACGUUUCAAUUUAUUUGAUUUGAGUCAGUGAACAGUAUUUUUGACUAUAAAAUUUAAGUUAAUUACUUAAUUUAGUAAAUUUAUAGCUCUGAAAAUUAUAUGUAAUAUGCUAUAUAAAUCCGUAAAGAGUUACGACGCAUUCAUAUUUUAAAGUCAAAAUAUCAUUAACUCAUUCAAAUCAAAUAAAUUAAAAAAUUAGAUAGUAAAAUUAAAGUUUUAAAAAAUUAAAUAGCCAACUUAAACUAAUUCAUAGUUCGGAUAAGUUUUAUACGUUUUUACCAAAGUUAAAAAUAAACACUAGUUAAAUUUUGCACACAAUUAUUAUUUUAGCAACAACAUGUGAUAUGUCGAAUGCCACGUGUCGCCAGCUGUGCGGUGCCAGCUGUAACUGUUUAUCACAAUUUUAAAUAGAUUCAAAAAAUUAAAAAAUUAAUAAAUUAAGAUGUAAAAUUUUAUUAAAAUGAGUUGCCAUAUCAUAUUGUUCCACAUCUCAACAUAUAUCUAAUGUAAUUUGCAACUCAAAAAAUAUAUAAAAAAAAUGUAGAUAAAGAAAAUCUCCUAAUUUACUAAUUAGUUUUUUUAAUUACGAGUGAAAUGAUAAAUCUAUAAUAAAAUAAGAAAGAUUUUUCUUAAUCACCAGAAAUGUCUCUACUAAUAUGUUCUUGUAAACUUUUUGAUUUUUAAACCAAUUUAAGAUAGUAAUGAAAAUAGCAAACCUAUUAAUACAAUUUAUGUAAGGAUGUUAUUAAUUAAGGACAAAGCUAAAAUACAGGUUUAAAAAUCAAAAAGUUUACAAGAACAUAUUAGUGUCACGCCGAAACCUAUUAAUACAAUUUAUGUAAGGAUGUUAUUAAUUAAGGACAAAGCUAAAAUACAGGUUUUUUUUUUUUUUUUUGAAUUUAGCAUAAAAUAUACCUAUGAUUUAACUUUUUCUUUUGCCAUCCUGUGGUUCAAAAAAUUAUAAUUUUUUGAAUGAUUAAUGCGAUUUCGGCGUGAGGGUAAAUUGAAGUUUAUCCUAAAAUAUACAGGAAAAUUAAGAAGAAGGAUUGUGUUAACGCCGUGUGUUUAGGUUGUAUUAAUUUUGUACAAUCUGCUUAAGUAUGCAAAUGGGACAGCCUCCAGCUCCAUUUCUUGUCGGCUUGAGGUGGAUUCGGGACGGAUUAAUUUUAAUUUUAGUUUUUUGCCUUUAUUUACCCUUCUAUUCGGGCCGAUCAGGACAGAGACGAGUAUUUAGCGGAUUAGAAUGGAUCGAAGAAAGAAAAUGGUUUCUCAUCUUCCGCUCCAUUUACUUGACGGAUUAAGACUGAUCUGAAAUGGAUUAUAUUUUUAUGUAUAUAUAUUUUUCAUGAGUCCGGCUACUAUACUUUUAUGAGUACGAUGCUUUCGUACUCAUAAGUCAUUUUCGAUGAUAAAGUUUUCGAAUCGAUGAUCUAUACUGUUAAACAUUUUUAGAGCAUUUAAAACUUUUAGAAAUCAAGUUUUAUAAAUUUUUGACAUCAUUUAUUUACCUUAUGAAAAAGAAAUCUCAAAAUUGAUAAUUUUUAACUGUCGAUAUGAGAUACUUACUAGUUUAACGGUGUAAAAGAAUCAAAAUCGAUUGAAUUUUUGAUAGAAAAUUCUAUUUACUAGCCAUAUAAAGAUCAAUAACUCCGAUAUUAAAUUAAAGGAUCUAAUCAUCCAUUUUUAAGAUGUUGUUCGAUUUUGAUCGUUCAUUUUAUGUCCGCUUGAUAGAUUUUAUUAUGAUUUCAAAAAAAAUACGAAAUUUUUUUAUAGAAGUUUUAAAUAUUUUAGAUUAUAUUUAACGAAAUGGAUCGUCGAUUCGAAAGUUCCAUCAUUGAAAAUAAUUUAUAAGUAUAAAAGACUCUAUACUGAUAAGAGCAUAAUAGUUCUACUAUAUUUUUUAUUUACCAUUUUAUUUGAAACGGAUCGGAUCAGAAACUCCACGAACCCGGAUCCAUUUGCAUGCCCAAGAUCCUCACGCCGUUUUCGGAACCGAAUCACGCGGAAAAGCAUAUUCCACGUGGCGUGUGCUACUCUCACCCCCUCCUUUCUCUCGUGCACGCCACCUCAAUCCCUCUCCGCAUCCGAACUCCAACUAACCAACCCUUUAUGCGGACGCACCAUCCACCCUUCGUUACGACAAAUCCAACAAAGAAGAUAAAUAAAUUACAUUUUGGUCCUCAAACUGUAAAGAUGUUACACAAUUGCCCUCAACCUUUAAGCAAAAUUUCUUUAGAUUGCUACAAUUAAAUACCAGCCUAAUUUAGUGGACUAAUUACUAAUUUGUUAUUUACGUACUAAUAAUAUAGUAGCAUUAUGGUUCAAGAAACUGAUUAUUACUGUAUCAGAGACACGCCAGUAUAUAGAUUGAAUAAAAUUAAUUAUCGGACUUAAUUGCAAUAAUUUUAAAAGUUUAAUGACUACAGUUGCACGUUUCAUAGUUUGAGGACCAAGAGUGUAAUUUAGCAAAAAAAAAAAAGGAAAAAAAAAAGAGUAAUGCUACAUUUUUUAGUCUCUUGAUUAUUGAAGCCCUAACAUAAAUUUCUCUAAAUUUUUUGUUCGCUAACUAAAUUCUUGUCCGUAAUUUUAUUGUUCAUGAAAAUUAAAAUAAUUAUUGAAUUUAAUCUCAAAUAUUAUCCAAACAUUUCAUUCCACUUUUUUAAGCAGCUGAUAAUUAUUUUAUUUUUAAUUUAUUAUUAGGAACCUAAGGAUAACAAUUAAUUAGCAGCGGUAAAAAAGUUAAAAAUAUAAAAGAGAAUAUUUAAAUAUUACUUCCAGGUCAUAUAAUGUAUGGAAUUGAAUAAAGCGAAAACAUCACAAAAAGUUAGAUCUAUUUCAUAUGUUAAACAUUGAUAAAGGAGGCAGAUGAUAAAUACCAUAUAUUCAGGGGGUUUGCUGCAAUUUAGAUCCAACGUCCGCAUGGAGCACACUAUGCGGACCGCAAAACCACCGGGGUCCGUUAUUUAGAAUCCCGCGUCGGCGCUAAUCCAACUUAAUUAAGGGUUUAAUUAACUUAAUUAACGUGAUUAAGUUAGGACAGGUUAGCAUCGUUAAUUAAACCUCCUCGAUAUCCUCACUCCACCUUUUCCCAACCCUUCGCGCCCUUCUCUCCCCUCCUUCUUCUUCUUCUUCUUCUUCUUCGUCUUCGUCUUCGUGCCUCGCUAGAUCUCCGCAAAAACUCAACGAAACCGAUCCCUAGGGUUAGGGUUAGGGUUUCGUGGGAGCGGUGCGGAGGAGGAGGAGGAGGAGGAGGAGGAGGAGACGAAGCUCGUGGCGGCGGCGCCCAUGGCGGCGUGAGACGGAGAGGGGAUCGGAGCGAGCGGAAAUGGCGGACACGGCGGCGCCGCAGAGGAGCGAAGGAGGGGGAUGGGCGGUGGCGGCGUACAGGGCGUUGUCGGCGGAUAACGUGAAGGGGCUCGUGCUCGCGCUCUCCUCCAGCGUCUUCAUCGGCGCGAGCUUCAUCGUGAAGAAGAAGGGUUUGCAAAAGGCCGGGUCGUCGGGGUCUAGGGCAGGUGAGGGAUCGGCGCAGCCGCUCUAAUUGCUCUCGUAAUUGAAUUUUAUUUGGGAUUUUGUGAUGAUUUUAGUAGUAUUUUGCGGUUCUUUUUUGCUGAGAUUUUUAUGAAAAGAUGCUUCGGGAUCUAGGGCGGGUGAGAGAUUGGUAAUAUAGAUUUAAUGGCUCUUCUAAUUGGAUUUUAGAUGGGAUUUUGUGACGAUUUUAGUAGUAUUUUGUGGUUUUUUUUUUUUUUUUGUUUUCCGAGAUUUAUAAACAGAUGCUUAUUAGGGAAUCAGGGUAGGUGAGAGAUUGGUACAUGGCUUUAAUGCCCCUUUUGGUUGGAUUUUAGAUGGGAUUUUUUGCUGAUUUUAGUAGUAUUUUUUCCCCUUUUUUUGCUGAGAUUGAUGAAAAGUAGCUACGUUUAUUGCAUUCUGAGCUAUUAAUUCGUGGUAAAAUUGGAUUCUGUUUCGAGUAGAUGGAUCAAAUUCAUAAGUAACUUGUGGUGCAUACAUUAGAUAUCUGUGCGCGAAUCUUGUUUAGUAAAGGAAAAAAAAAUAGAGAAAAGGUCUUCAAAUUGAUUUUAGAUGGGAUUUUAUGCUGAUUUUAGUAGUAUUUUUUCCCCUUUUUUUGCUGAGAUUGAUGAAAAGUAGCUACGUUUAUUGCAUUCUGAGCUAUUAAUUCGUGGUAAAAUUGGAUUCUGUUUCGAGUAGAUGGAUCGAAUUCAUAAGUAACUUGUGGUGAUUACAUUAGAUAUCUGUGCGCGAAUCUUGUUUAGUAAAGGGAAAAAAAAAUAGAGAAAAGGUCUUCAAAUUGAUUUUAGAUGGGAUUUUAUGCUGAUUUUAGUAGUAUUUUUUCCCCUUUUUUUGCUGAGAUUGAUGAAAAGUAGCUACGUUUAUUGCAUUCUGAGCUAUUAAUUCGUGGUAAAAUUGGAUUCUGUUUCGAGUAGAUGGAUCGAAUUCAUAAGUAACUUGUGGUGAUUACAUUAGAUAUCUGUGCGCGAAUCUUGUUUAGUAAAGGGAAAAAAAAAUAGAGAAAAGGUCUUCAAAUUGAUUUUAGAUGGGAUUUUAUGCUGAUUUUAGUAGUAUUUUUUCCCCUUUUUUUGCUGAGAUUGAUGAAAAGUAGCUACGUUUAUUGCAUUCUGAGCUAUUAAUUCGUGGUAAAAUUGGAUUCUGUUUCGAGUAGAUGGAUCAAAUUCAUAAGUAACUUGUGGUGAUUACAUUAGAUAUCUGUGCGCGAAUCUUGUUUGAUAAAGGGAAAAAAAAGAAAGAGAAAAGGGCUUCAAAUUGGUUUCUAAAAAGUUCUAAUAGGAGAAACACAAUUUUAUUCUCACUUUGGAUGAGUUAUACUUAUGUGUUCCAUCAGAUUAUGCAAUAGUAAAAGUAAAUAUUACUUUGGAUGUUACCAUUUGUAUGUUAGACUUGGCUCUUGGAAUGGCUUCUCAACUUGAGAAAGCCAAAGGUUGCAAAAACUAGGUGUUUGGCAAAAAAAAAGAGAAGAAAUUCUGGAAAUUUUUAUUGUCGCCGGAAGGUGAAGUAGACUUUUGGGCCAGAAAAGCACAAGCUCCAAAUUGUAACUUCUGCUUCUACUGCAAUUAGAAGCUGUUGUGAGAUUUUUGUGUAAGGAGUAAAGAUCUUCUUUGAAGAGCUUGACUCAUGUGAACAAAUGGGUGUUCAUUUCCCAGAAAAGGAAAAAUGCGUAGUAAUAAAAGGGAGAAUAAGAUAGCAAGUGUUAUUAGACUACCUUGGGUUGUUGGUUUAGUACCUCAUGUUCUAAUUGAUUUCUGGGUCGACAAAUGCGGUUAGGGUGUGUAAGUGAUCUGAUUCUGAUUUUCCGGCUUUUACUUCUGUAAUUGAUCUGAUUCUGGAUUUUUUGUACCGAAUGGGAAAUUUUAAAGAAAAAGAUAUAUAAAAAAAAUUUUCUAUGGGGUGCGAGAGGAAAACUGUACUAGUAGUAGCAGUUCUAACUUCUAUGCACAAUCUCUUCAAAUUCUGAAAUGAAAGGUGCUACUUAUCCACGACUGAACAUUCUCUCAUUAUUCAGUAAAAAAGGCAUUUGGAUCUAAAGUCUUUGCUGAAACAAAGAACACCGAGAAUUCCAUACAGUCCAUCUUCUUUGGCAGAUGAUUCACACAUCCUGAUUUUACAUUUAAUCAAAAUUCACUACUUUUUCUAGCACCUAACUUAGGAGUACCUGGGGAAGUAAGUAGUAGAAUAAAAGUGGCAGUGGCUCUAUGUGUCUUUCUUCUUCUUCUGGAAAACUUCCUUUUUUCUCAAUGCUCCUUACACUAAUAUUUUUCCUAUUGUUUAUCAAUGCCCUAUCUCAUCAACCUGUCCUAUUUUGGUUUUUCAACAGGGAUUGGAGGUUAUUCUUACUUAUACGAGCCUCUUUGGUGGGCAGGCAUGGUCACAAGUAAGUUUUUUUUUUCUUGUUGUUUGCCUAACUCUUCAUGGUUGCUUGCACAAGUUGUUUACUCUGUUGUAUUUUCAUUUGCCCAUUUAAGUAUGUUGGUUAAUUAGAAAUUUGGAUCUUGAAGUGUGGCUGCAACUUCAAUAUUGUUGAAAGCUAUGGUUUUCUCCUUCUCUUACUACUAAUGUAGCUAACCAAAUACGUCAGUGGGUUCUAAUUCUCGAGUGCAUUGUCACGCUUUUAUAGUUUUAUUAUAAGAUUGCGACCAUGAAUUGAGGCUUUUUGUUUUAUAUUUAUGUGGUUACUAACAAGCUGUUCUUAUCAACAGUGAUUGUCGGAGAAAUAGCUAAUUUUGCAGCUUAUGCCUUUGCUCCAGCUAUUCUAGUUACUCCUCUUGGGGCACUUAGCAUAAUCAUCAGGUAUAACCCAGCAUUGAAUUUCAAAUAGCAUAAGCAUCUUUUGAUACACUUUUACGUUUUUAAUUCUUUGAUAUCAAAAUUGCUGCAGUGCUGCACUUGCAUAUGUUAUUUUAAGGGAAAAGCUACACAUUUUUGGCAUGCUUGGUUGUGUUCUUUGUGUUGUGGGAUCGACCACGAUUGUUCUGCAUGCUCCACAAGAGCGUGAGAUCAGCUCUGUGACAGAAGUUUGGGAUCUUGCUACUGAACCAGGUAUUCUACUAAAAUCUAAUUAAUUAAUCAAUAACUCUUGAAGUUGUGACUUACUUGUGAUACAAUCACCUUUUUGGGGAGCUUGCCUUCACAAUAUCUCCCUGCAAAGUCAUCUGUUUACAUGAAUGCCCCUAUUAAGUCGGAAUUUUCUUGUAUACCUCUCAAAGUAUAGUUUCUUACAAAAGUACCCUUAAGUUUUUGGGGUCACCGAAGUCAUGGGGAAGUGGUUUUCCAUGAAAAAAUGUGUCUUAAGAAAGGACAUUUUUAUGCACAGGAGUAUGUGUGAGGAAAUUGUUUUCUGAGAGGACCAUAUGUAACGUCUGAUGUUGCAGGGGAUAUAUAAUGCACAUUUUGAGUUACACUCAUUAUUAGAUACUGAGGUUCACUCUUUAUUAGAUACUGAGGUUCACUCUUUAUUAGAUACUGAGUUUCACUCUUUAUUACACAUAAACUUGAUGCCAAUUUUGAGGUUCACUCUUUAUUAGAUACUGAACCUUAUGCUGUGUUUUUUCUGCAGCUUUUCUAGUCUAUACAGCAAUUGUACUGGCUGCAGUGUUUAUACUUAUAUUUCGCUUUGCACCUCACUAUGGGCAAACAUAUAUAAUGGUGUACAUUGGCAUCUGUUCUCUUAUUGGCUCUCUCACGGUAUGUACUUUGGCUACAGAAACAAGGUAGUUAAUUUGAUGCCGUUCUUGUUCGCUUAUGCUUGCAUUAACUCUUUACAGUUUUGGAUCUACAGGUAAUGAGUGUAAAAGCUCUUGGAAUGGCUUUGAAGUUGACCUUCUCAGGAGUCAACCAAUUAGUAUAUCCACAAACUUGGGCCUUCACCUUAAUUGUAGCGGCUUGUGUCAUUACCCAAAUCAACUAUUUAAAUAAGGUAAUUUGUUGCAAUUUUUCCUCUUAAGUUCAAGUUUAUUCAAAUAUUGGAUUUAAUAAUAACUUAAAAGCCUAUUUGGACCCUCAUUCCAUUAAAUAAACAACUUACUCUCAAAAUAUGAGACUUGUUAAGUGAUAUUUACAUAUAAGAGUAGUGUUUGAAAGAGCAAGUUUCAAAUGAAGCAAGCAAAUUAAUUAAAAGGUCUCAUGGACGACAGAUAAGAAGUCACAUUCCUUUGUGCAUGUCAAAAACCAUUGCAAGUUUCAAACAGCUAUACUACUUAGGAGCUAAUCUACCUUUUUAAGUUUCAAACAGCUAUAUUACUUGAGAGCUAAUGUACUAUUAGCAACUGUUUGUCUCAGUGUUUAAUAUAUGUUGGAAGUCCAAAGACAAUAUAACUUGGGCUAUUUUGCUUAGGAGCUAAUCUACUUUCUAGCAAUACUAUGUUGGACUCGACCCUGGAGUUAAUUACUAGUUUGUUGUGAAGGAAAAAAAAGGGUGGAUGUGAUGUUUUCUUUUAAUGAAUGUUUGGGGAACCUUGUUACAACCAAAAGGAUGAAACGACUGAAAUAUAAUUAUUAUUUCAAAGUUCAACCUGCCAUCAAGAUAAUGUUAUAUUCAUGCAGAUUAUUUUGGCCUGAUUCUUCUCAUUUAUAAAAGAACUGAUAGCUUAGUUAUUGCUGAGAAUUACACUUAAAACUUAAGAAGGUUCUUCAAAAUGCUCUCCAUUAUUGCUAGGCAAAAGUUUUUUUUAUGCCUUUCUCUAUGUGCAUUCAUACUUGGCUGCUUAGGGCCCAUAAGAUAUUUCUUUCUUGUAUUUUGCAGGCACUUGACACAUUCAAUACAGCAGUUGUAUCACCAAUAUACUAUGUGAUGUUUACAUCAUUAACCAUUUUAGCCAGCGUGAUCAUGUUCAAGGUAAUCUUCUGGUCUUUCUUUUUGACUUUUCACAUUUUAUGCUUUACAAUUUGAGAGCUUCUGAAUUUUUCUUCGUUUAAGCUACUCUUUUUCUUCUUCUUCUUCUUCUUUUUUUCUUUCCUUCUCUCCAUUUGUGAUAAAAUACUAUUUCUUAUUUGUCCCCAUAUUUGAUGUCAUUGAGAAAAUUAGAAAAGCCUAUAUAAGAGACAUUUUGUGGGCAAAAGUUUGAACUUGCUAGGCAUUUCUCUCCUCUCCUCAAUUUUUAGACACCCCAAUUGAUUCAUGUCAUUCAUUGAAUAGGAUGUAACAUUAUACAGAGGGUUGUGAUCUCAUAAGAAAUUUAGGUCAGAAAUAAUAUAUCUACUGCUUUCAAUUUCGUGGUCUAUAUUUCCUUUUUAAAGACUACAGGUCAAAAAAAAAUUCUGGUGCAAUAUGGAAGUGUCAGUAUUGCCUAGGGAGAUUAUAUUCCAACAAUGCAUUCGGUUUCUUCAGUUGGCCUUUCCCAUCGCAGCAGUGAUUAACUCAGAUUACUUGACACAUAUUAAGUAUAAAGUUGAAAGAAAGAUAAAUGUUUGUUUAUCCCUUGUAACCUUGUUUUGUAAUUCUGGAACAAGUCUUCGGUGAAUAUAACAAUACAAGUAACCUUGAACUUUUGACAAAUGACACCCUGGUCCAUUAUCUCUCACAUAAACAGAUUAUUCCCUGCACUUAAGAGUCCCCUGUGUGGUAUUGAGGGCUGCCUAACACUACAGGGUGAAAAGAAUUUGGGGCAAAAGCAUAAAGAGAGAUAUGUUUCUCCAUUUUUUUCAGUAGGAUCACAGACUUUAUAUCUUAACUGAUUCCUUGCAUUAUGCAUGACGUAAUAUUACUUACGGAAACAAAUGGAAAGAAAUUGUUAACCCUUCUCUGGACCCUUCACUCUUUUCUCUAUUUCCUUUCCCUGAUUUGUUGAUCACAUAAUCUGAUUGCUGUGUCAAAUUCAAAAUUUGCUAUUUCUCCCUUGUUCUGAAUAACCAAUUGACUGUGAGGACUUCAAGGAUUAUUGCAAGUGAUGGCUUUAUUAUUUGGGAGUAGCUUCUUAUUUCAUUUUCUUGUCAGAGCCAAAAUAGCCACUGGAUGUUUUUAUCAAGCAAUUUAUUUAGCAUAAGUAAAAUACGACAAACAUUAACAUAGCUAGCUGCGUUAUAGAUUUUAAUGGUUAACUAAAUGCCUUCCUAACCUGGUUCCUUGAACAACUUCUCUAGGUAUAUAAUAUUAUUUGAAAUUUAGCCGAAAUGCAUACUCUUAGUAUCUUAUACGUUAUCUAAUCACUAAUCCUGUGCUAUAAAAUACAGGACUGGGAUGGGCAAAACCCAACACAGAUCGUCACGGAGAUGUGUGGCUUUGUGACUAUUCUUUCUGGGACUUUUCUUCUUCACAAGACGAAGGAUAUGGUUGACGGUAUAUAUCAUUUCAUUUUUUGUAUUUAUUGUCAAACCACUCCUUUUUACCACUUGGUUUCCGUAAAGAACAUUAAAUAGCGUAAAUGCCUGUUUGCCCUAGUUUUUGGAGUAAGUUUUCUCCUGUGAUAAUUAGUAUUUAGGCAUUUGGCAGACAAAGCUUUCUACUGUGACAAUUAGUAUUUAGGCAUUUGGGCAGAAUGGGAGCUAACUGGAAGUAGGGGUGACUCAGUUUGGUUUGGUUCGGUGUUGAUUAUAUUUUUGUCAACCGACCAAAAUAUUUCAUUGAAAGAUUGAUAAAACCGACCUAAACCGUACUUCUUCUAUGUGAAAAUAUGAACCAAACCGAAUUUAGGUUUAACCAAUCAAUUUGCGCUUCUCCUUGUUGUAAGCUUUUUACAUUAGUUGUAAGAAUCCAUUCAUUUAAAAUGAAUGGAUAUGAUCUAUCAGUAUAUAAUUAGCUAUUCUAAAUGUACUUAUUACAUUAGAAUUUGGUCAUCACAUAAUGAUCCAUAAAAUAGGACUCAAUUUGUACUACUUGUAUAUGUAUAUGAUCAUUGGUCAAUUUUAAUUAGGUUCGGUUGAGAAAAUUUCUUUACCAAACAAAAACCAGAAACCUAAAUACAUGGAUAUUGAAAUAUGAAUGCAACCAAAAAUCAAAUAAAGCAAACCACAAUUGGGGUUAAGUUUCGGUUUGGUUUUUGGUUUGGAGUCACCCCUAUUGUUGAGGGCAUUAAUGGAACAGCUGUUAGUGUUUUUCGAGCAACUUUGCUAAACAUAUUAGAGUUUAUUUAUUUAAAGUGACUUAAAACUCCAUUUUUAGCCUUUGGACCUCUUGGGUGGCCAAAUAUCAAAUGGGUUUUACCUGGGAGCCUGUGCAUAUCUUGCUACAUGUGAAUUUAGUCGCACAUUGAAUACUCAAGACAUGUAGUAGUGCCUUUUAUACUCCAUCAUCUUCAAGCUAGUUGCUUGGGUGAUAAUAAGAGUGGUGCCAUCCACAAAUACACACACGAGCAUGAGCACGAAUACUCGGUUUGGUUCACCUACACUUGAACCUUACCUUUUAUUAUUAUUAUGUUUUUGGGUUGCUAGUACUUUUCAUUCAAAAAAAAGGGAUACAUUUUAAUUAAAAGAAUAGACAGAUUGUCUAACAAAACAGUACUUUUACGGAAGUUCUAGCAGAUCCAAACGAACUUCAAUUAGAGGAAUAGGACCAUUAUAUCGAAAAUUCCUGAUAGUUGACUCUGGAGUCUUUGUUGUUACGUACCGCCCCAUUUUAUGUUAACUCAAUUCACGAUUCCUUACUUUGCCCUAACAGGUCUUCCUCUCCCAGUUCGACUUGAAAAUCAUGCCGACGAGGAUGGAUUUCCUCCCGAGGGGAUUCCGCUUAGAAGUCACAAUUCAUCACACAUUCCAUGAGUUCUUGUGGUAGAAAAUUCCCUCCAAUGAAAUAGGAAAAACUGCUUUUGAGGCAAUCAGCUUGUUGACGAAGCUCUACGUAUUUAUCCUUUUCACAUCAAGUAAGGUUCAAAGGCUACUUUCGUCUCCAAUUUGAAGAAGCAGGCGCUUUUCCUUUUCCGAGACAUGACGAGUAUACAGCUUGAUCGUGCUACAUAAGCAGUUGCUGAAAUACUGUUUCCUACUAGCUUAGUCGAAAAGCUGCUUUUAGAGAAAGGCACAUAUCAAUCUAUUAUGCUGGUGGGGAUUUUGGUGGUGCAGUUGUAUAGUCCUUUUCCUUCUUCCCACACUUUUCCUGCUAGGUUAUUAUUGUAGUUAUGCCAUGUAUUUACAUCAAUUCUUUUUCAUGUACGUAUCACAUAGAACAGAAAUUUGCAUUGUUUUUGAGAAACUUGUAUACAUUUCUUAUCUAGCAGAACGAAGAUCGAUCAAAUUCACAAUUUUGCUCUAUCUUUUGCUCCAUUGAAAAAUUGUCGAGAAUCUGAAAGGUGAUCAUACAAGGUGUAUCAAUUCUCCUCUAGUUUUUACUGCUUUUUUAAUCCAUUGGUCACAGAACACAGAACGUAUGACGAAAUUCUCCGUAAAUUAUGUAUUUGUACCCAUUUAUGUAUCUUUGUAUGUGUAAUAUCUGUAUCCAAAUUUGAAUCUGUCUCUGACUAGUUGAAUAAUAUCGCAUUCAUUUUCAUCCCUAGAUUGGAACCUGAAAAGCCAAACCAACCUGUUUAAUUAGAAGUAAGUAUAAAAAAAGAUAAAAUUAUUAAAAAAAUACUUGUUUUCUGAUAUUUUCAAGUUUUAUUUCAAUCACUUCAGCAUGUGUGCAGCUUAUCGACAUUUCAACUUUUCUAAAACAAAGUUAAUUAAAAAAAAAUCUCACAAGGAGAGAGAAAAAUAAAAAAUAGGAAUUAAGGAGAUUAAGACAUAUCGAAAGUGCGAAAAGACCCAAAAAUUCAGAGUCAAUUUCUCACUACAAGUCAUAGGUCACCAAGAGAAACAAGAGAAUUUUCUUGCACAAUUCUCAUGAGCAUUGCUAUGGGCACCCCAAAGUGUCCCUCUUAGAGUCCCCAAUUUAUAUAUCAAGUUGUGAAAUAACUAAUUAGUCUAAAUGUGAGAAAACAGUAUAAUUUUUUAAGAUCAAUACUUUUGGAUAGGCCCAAAAUAAGCACUUUAAACAGUCUCCCUUUUUUAAGGCUUGAGAUUUCAAAAAAAAAAUAGAGAAUUAAACUCAAAGGUAGUCGAACUCUAAAUCUUCUACUCUGAUAUCAUGUGAAAUCAAUUAAUUACUCUCGAAACUUAAAUUGACAGAGAAUGGUGUCUCUAAUAUCGACAUUCAACACGGAUGUCUACAUAAGUUUAAUCUUUAUUAUCUAUGACAAUUAGUGUACCUUAGAAAGGUACACGACUUAAUUUUCAUAUUUUCAUCUCUCAAAGACUAAUAGUCCACACUGUAUUAGGUCGGUCAACUUGGCCAACACAGACUUUGAAACUCCUCUUGCCUAGGGCUGGCAAACGAGCGAGCCGGCUCGCGUUCGACUCGUGUUCGGCUAAGCUUGCUCGGCUCAUUAUGAGUUCGAGCCGAACUUUACUUAAAGCUCGGAAAAUAAAACAAGUUCGAGCCGAGUAAAUUAAAGCUCAGCUCGAACUCGCUCGACUUAUAGCNUAGAGCAUGAUAGUGUAGUGACUUAUAGCGGUUGAGUUAUUUCCUGCAUUUUUCCUACUAUCCUGGCUCCCUUCUGUAGACUUAGUGGGUGGAUCGAUGUUGUUUUGGGCGGCACCCACUGAGGACUACUUGUUUUUACAGUAGUUCUCACGCCCAGAUGUUACCCCUGUUUUGCAGAGCCACAGGUUUCGGGUACUGCGCCUUUCGCGGAUCAGGAUCGAGGCAAGGGCGUCGCGAGUUAGAGCCCUACCCGCUGAGCAGAGCUAGAGGCACCCUACUACAGGUAGUUGUUUUACUUCGAGCUUAUGUACAUAGUACUUAACUCGCCAGUGCGAGUGAUGCUGUAUUUUGGAUUCUGAACUAUGUAUAUGAAGCUCAGUUUGUUUAGUUUUUGUUUACUCGAGCAGCUCUAUACUACUGUUUGUAGUAUUGUUUGAUUUACAGGUACUGAUGUCGCUUCGUAUAUAAAAAAAAUUUCUUUGUAUAUGACGGAUUUGUCGGCGUGCCCGGGGAACGAGACAUCCGGGGCGUGACACCUUAGAAAGGUACACAAGUUAAUUUCCAUAGUUCCUACUCUCAAAGACUAAUAAUCCACACUGUAUUAGGUCGGUCAACUUGGUCAACACAGACUACGAAACUCCUCUUGUCUAUAACAAGUCUUUGCUUCUCUCACUCUCUCUAACCCAUUUCAAUUUAUUUUUAUUUUUAUAAAAAGAGAGAGAGGGAGAGAGGUUAUGAAAAUAUAGAUAGGAACUAAGAAGAAGAAAAGGUGGAUACUCCAUAAAAGAUAUAAUAGAAGGAAUGGAGAGGUAUGCACAUCUCUUUAUCUCCUUCUCCUUGCCGUUCUCCUUCUUAAAUUACUCCUUGUUUGUUGAUAAGUCUAUGGCCUCACCGUUCCAACUCAACCAUGACCAACUAAACAUCAUGGUAAAUCUCUCCAAGAGCCUCUCUCCUUAUUCUAUGAGUGAGUGGAACACCACUGACCCAAAUCCUUGCCUUUGGGAGAGGGUCACUUGCUCCGCCGGCCCCUCGACCGUCAUGACCCGCCUCUCCCUCUCCUAUCUCGGUCUCUCCACUGGCGCUAAUGUUAGUGACUUCAUUAGCAUUCUUUGUCGCCUCGACACCUUACAGUACCUCGACUUCUCGCUAAACUACAGAACCACAAUUCCUUAUUCGUUUUUCUCCAAUUGCACCGGCCUCUCCAGGUUGAAGUCCCUUAAUCUCAGCUACAAUGAUUUGGGUGGCCCGGUUCGUAAUUUCUCGAGCUUUGCCAGUUUGGAGACUCUGGGCUUGUCCUAUAACUCCUUACAAGGAACUGUUGCAACCCAGUUGAGUUCCUUAUCCAAAUUGAAAAGCUUGAAUCUUGGCUCUAAUUUAUUGAUGGGNGCCUAGAUUUAGGCUCGAAAUUAAUUUCAAGCCGAAUUUGAGCUGAAAUAAGCUCGCUCGAGCUCGGCUCGUUUCCACCCCUACUCUUGCCUAUAACAAGUCUUUUCUUCUCUUACUCUCCCUAGCCCAUUUCAAUUUAUACCUCCUCCAGAUUUUUAUUUUUAUUUUUAUUUUUAUAAAGAGAGAGAGAGAGAGAGAGAGAGAAAGAGGUUAUAGAAAUAUACAUAGGAACUAAGAAGAAGAAAAGGUGGAUACUCCAUGAAAGAUAUAAUAGAAGGAAUGGAGAGGUAUGCACAUCUCUUUGUCUCCUUCUCCUUGCUGUUCUCCUUCUUAAAUUACUCCUUGUUUGUUGAUAAGUCUAUGGCCUCACCGUUCCAACUCAACCAUGACCAACUAAACAUCAUGGUAAAUCUCUCCAAGAGCCUCUCUCCUUAUUCUAUGAGUGAGUGGAACACCAGUGACCCAAAUCCUUGCCUUUGGGAGAGGGUCACUUGCUCCGCCGGCACCUCGACCGUCGUGACCGGCCUCUCCCUCUCCAAUCUCGGAAUCUACACUGCCGCUAAUGUCAGCGACUUCUUUAGCAUUCUUUGUCGCCUCGACACCUUACAAAACCUCGACUUCUCGCAAAACUACAUAGCUACGAUACCUGAUUCGUUUUUCUCCAAUUGCACCGGCCUCUCCGGGUUGAAGUCCCUCGAUCUCAGCUACAAUGAUUUGGUUGGCCCGGUUCGUAAUUUCUCGAGCUUUGUGAAUUUGGAGACUCUGGACUUGUCCCACAACUUACUAGAAGGAACUGUGGGAACCCAGUUGAGUUCCUUAUCCAAAUUGAAAAGCUUGAAUCUUGGCUCUAAUUUAUUGAUGGGAACCAUCCCCACUUUCGUCAUCGACGGUAGAAGAGUUGCGGUCUUUGAAGAGCUUGUGCUUUCGCAUAAUCACUUCACUGGCACGAUACCCAGUGAGAUUUUUGAGUAUGAGAAUCUUACUAUGUUGGAUCUUAGUACAAAUAGCCUAUCUGGGACCAUACCAGAAAAGAUUGGAAUGCUCUCCAAUUUGAAAACUCUCGACCUUUCUUCCAAUCAACUAACCGGAAGACUUCCGGCUACUUUAUCCAACAUCUCAGCCCUCUGUCGAUUCGCAGCUAAAAGAAACAACUUAACUGGAAAUAUUCCAAGUAUUUCCAAAUUUUUGUGUGUUUUGGAUCUCAGCUACAACAACCUUGGUGGGGAGAUCCCAUCUGAUCUCCUCGCAUCUCCUAAUUUGGAGUAUGUUUAUCUCUUUGGUAAUCGUCUCAGAGGGGCUAUUCCCACAAAUCUAUCUAUAGGGCUUUUCAUUCUGCAACUCAGUGGAAACCUUCUAUCUGGAAUAAUCCCGACAUCAAUAGGAAAGCUCUCGAAAUUGGAUUACUUGGAUCUCUCUUCGAAUGCGCUGUACGGCGAGCUACCAAAGGAGAUUGGUAAUCUUCAUGAAUUGGUCUCCUUGGAGCUUCAAAUGAAUAAUCUUAGCGGGGAGAUCCCAUUUGAUUUUCUUGCAUCUCCUAAUUUGGAGUAUGUUGAUCUCUCUAGUAAUCGGCNAAGUCCCUUAAUCUCAGCUACAAUGAUUUGGGUGGCCCGGUUCGUAAUUUCUCGAGCUUUGCCAGUUUGGAGACUCUGGGCUUGUCCUAUAACUCCUUACAAGGAACUGUUGCAACCCAGUUGAGUUCCUUAUCCAAAUUGAAAAGCUUGAAUCUUGGCUCUAAUUUAUUGAUGGGAACCAUCCCCACUUUCGUCACCGACGGUAGAAGAGUUGCGGCCUUUGAAGAGCUUGUGCUUUCAAAUAAUCAAUUCACUGGCAUGAUACCCAGUGAGAUUUUCGAGUAUGAGAAUCUUACUAUGCUGGAUCUCAGUACAAAUAGCCUAUCUGGGACCAUACCAGAAAAGAUUGGAAUGCUCUCCAAUUUGAAUGCUCUCGACCUUUCUUCGAAUCAACUAACCGGAAGACUUCCGGCUACUUUAUCCAACAUCUCAACGCUCUUUCGAUUCGCAGCUAAAAGCAACAACUUAACUGGAAAUAUUCCAAGUAUUUCCAAAUUUGUCAGUUUUUUGGAUCUCAGCUACAACAACCUUAGUGGGGAGAUCCCAUCUGAUCUUCUCGCAUCUCCUAAUUUGGAGUAUGUUGAUCUCUCUGCUAAUCAGCUCGGAGGGGCUAUUCCCACAAAUUUAUCUAUAGGGCUUCAAUUUCUGCAACUCAGUGGAAACCUUCUAUCUGGGAUAAUCCCGGCAUCAAUCGGAAUGCUCUGGCAGCUGGCAUAUCUAGAAUUGGAUAAUAACAAUUUGUAUUCUGAGAUACCAUCGCAACUGGGGAACUGCCGCAAUUUGGCAUACUUGGAUCUCUCUUCGAAUGCGCUGCACGGCGAGCUACCAAAGGAGAUUGGUAAUCUUCAAAAUUAUUUAGAGGUGCUGGCGCUUCAAAUGAACAAUCUUAGCGGGCAGAUACCUAUUGAAAUGCUUGAGCUACAGAGCUUGCAAGUAUUGAAUCUCGGCGGUAAUUCAUUCACGGGUGAGAUAUUACCAAUAAUUUCUAACUUCCAUCAGCUUUCAAACCUAGGCCUUCAGCGCAAUAAGUUCAUCGGGACGAUUCCCAAUUCAAUCAAUGGUUUGCAAAAUCUGAUAGAACUCAACCUGGGUAGCAACCUUUUUGACGGGCCGAUAUCUCCAAACAUUGGAGAUUUACACUUUCUAGAAAUUCUCGAUCUCUCGUAUAAUCAUUUCUCAGGUCAAGUGCCUGAUUCUCUUUCCACCAUUCCAAAUUUGACGAAGCUGGCACUUUCUUACAAUAAUCUCUCAGGGGAUCUUGAUCUCUCAAGAUUUUUGCCAUCAGUGAAUGUCGUAACCAUUGGAAAUAAGAAUCUUAUAAUUUUGAACGGAAGUGCUGAAUCCAAUUCGCCCGGAAAUGACGUUUUUGUUACUACCGAUUCGUCGAAAAGAAAGAUCAAGUUUGCCUUAGUCGUGGUUUCUUCUUUUGUGGCCGGUUUUUCGGUUUCAUUCCUCAUGUCUUCACUGACUUGGAAAUUCUUGAUUCGUAAAAAAGCAGCCGACGCACAAGAAGAAGACCGCCUUUCUGAUUUGAACAACAGGAAGAGGCUGCAGAUGGUACAGAGGCUGAGGAUGUUUCACGAACGGUACUACUUGGGACAGCUCACCACUGCAUUAGAAGCUCUUUAAUUAGGGAGUUUUUUUAAAUUUUGAAGCCCAAAAACUCUUUCUAGCUUAUCGCCGCAGUAGGACGUCUAGAUAUCUCUGUUUGCUAAAUGUGUCAAUACUGCUUCUUAGAAUAGAGAAGCAGUUCAAGGCCCAAGAGCCUCUUAAUAAUGUAUGCUAUCAUGGGACAAGCAAGGUUGAAAUUCAGAGACAGAAAACCUCUUGAUUUUUUAUGCGUGAUAAAUACAAGAAAAAAUUGAUAUGUCAUCGCAGAAUAAAAUCCAACUGAAAGUAAAAAAGAAAAAAAAAAAAAAAGGGGGAAAAACCAAAUAAUUAAUAACAUGUCUUUUCAAGAAAGAGGAAUGUGUGGCGGCUUCUUUAUAAACAUAUUUAUUAGACUAGACUAAGCAUAAAAAAAAAUUUCAACUCAGCUCAUAACAAGAUGUCGAAAACCCUGACAGUAAAGAUUGUAUAGAUAAUAUAUGUUUACUGUACCAAAACAGGUAGGUACUGCAUAUUAAUUCAUAACCAUAACCUUAAUAACUCAACAUCUCUCAGCACUUCGUAUGUAGAGAUUGCCUCAUAAACUCGCCUCCAUUUUCGCGAAAGCUGUUCAAGAACAUUAUAACUACGAAUAACAUUGUGAUGUGGAAAAUCCAACUGUAUCCAUAUCAAAAUCUUUGUUAGUUAAUUCGCGAAUUAUUCGCGAAUUUUUGAAGAAACGAAUUUAUCGGCCGUAUUCGUAUUUUUUUGAAAAAUUCAGAAAAAAAUACGUUUUUUUGGUCGAAAAUACUUAUUUGUGAAUAAUUCACGCGCCGAAUUAUUCGCCAAAAAUACGGUUCGCGCUCGCGCCUGCGCCCGCGCCCGUGCUCGAGGGUCGCGGGUCGCUGGUCUCGCGGCUCGCCCUAUAACACCCUGUACUUUUAAACUUCUUUAUUUGACUCCUAUUCUUAUUAAGUUUGGACCUUUUCGUAAAUUCCUAUCUUCGAGGGAUUCGGCGGCAUUUUGUUACUUAAUUAGUAUCUAACUUAAUUAAUUUUCUCCCUAACCCUCACCCGAUCAAUCCCUCUUUUUCCCCUCCCCUACGACUCGCUCUCUCUCUUCCUUACCGCAUCCGUACGACCUCUGUCGUUCCGCAAGUGCGCACGCGACACCAUCUGAUCGUCGCCAUCAUCCGUAGCCGCCUCCGCCGCAAUCCUCUUUGGCCGUUAUUUUUGGUUCACUAUCGAUGGCAUCCUGCCGUCAUUUUCACCAUUUUCGAGAAGGUUUUUCUUUUUCCCUUAUUUUAUCUCUAUAUCGAACCUUGUGAUCAUCCAACCUUCUUGUUUAUCGUUAUAUUAUUAUUUUGAAUACUCGCCUAAUGAUGAUCGAAAUUUAAAACUACCAAAAUCUGAUUUGCUUUGAUCUAAAUAUGUGUUAUUCGAUCUAUCAUUUUAUCUUGUAUUUCUAUCUGAUUUAGUUAUAUAAACCCUCCAUAUUCUGCAUGCUUCUUGUAACGCUCCUUACAUGUUCGAUAAAAUGCCUAAGAGAGGGCGAACUUUGUUUUUGUUUCUAAUUCCGAUCCUAUCUGAUUGUAAAUUGCCUAUUGAUAUUUCAACAUCUGAAAACCCUCUUUUCGAGCAUUAGAUCUUUCGUUUAUUAUUUAAAACUUCAUUCAUGUUAUCUUGUUUUUUGAAUAUUUUAAUCUUUGAAACUCAUCAUCCUCUUUGAUUGUUAAUUGAGUUUCGUCGAAUUUAAUAUUCUAAAUCCCUUUGUGCUCCAUCCCGACCUAUUUGCAUACCUUUAUAUCCCCUUUGCAUGUUCAUUUUGGUUAGCUUAUAGAGAAUCACGUAUCUCUAUUUUGGAUUCCGACGAUUGAAUUUUCGGCGCAUUCUCAACUGGAUAAUUUUUCUAUCUUUGAGGUAUUCGUUAAAGUAAGCGACCGAACACCCGUUAGUUUUUGUAAGAUAAUAUAGAAAAAUAUUUUGAUUAUAUGAAAAUCUUAUUUUGUAGAAUUUAAAAUUAAGGGUUAAGCAUAUUAUUAAAUAUUUCUGUAAAUUAAGUUUCAACCGUGAUUGACAAGUCCUUUUAGCAAAAUAAACUUUUGAAAUUUGAUAAUCUGCUCUGUAAAUUAAUGACUGGAUACACUUUGAAUUAUGAUGUCUCUUGGUAUUCUGCUAUGCUUAUGUUGGCCAUGUCGACAUGUACUUUGUUAUAGAAGCAAGCUUCGUCUUUGUAUUGCGCCUUCGGGUGCCUGCGCCUAUCCGCGCNUAGGGAUAAUAUUAUUAUUUUUUAUUUAUAACUAACAACUAUUCCUCUUAUUUUCAAUAACCAUCCAAACGCAAUUUUUUCUAGUUCCAACUUAUACUCAUAUUUUCAUCCAAAUAAAAAAAAAUAUCUUUAUCCUUACAAAAAUUCAUAUUUGUACACAUCCCCAGUAUAACUAGUUCCUACUAAUUCCCGAACCAAACAGUUUAGUGUUUGAGUAUAAGAAGGAGAAUAAGAGUUUAUUCCCCUCUUUAUAUCCCAUCCAAAUACCACCUAACAGAUCUUCCACUCCCAAUUUGACUCGAAAAUCAUGCCGACGAGGAUGUGUUUCCUCUCGAGGGCAUUCCACUUAGAAGUCACGAUUCGUCGCACAUUCCAUAAGCUCUUGUAUGGUAGAAAAUUCCCUCCGGCGAAAAGGGAAAGUGCUUCUGAGGCAAUCAGCUUGUCGAAGAAGCUCUACAUAUCCUUUUCACAUCAAGCAAGGCUCGAUGGUUACUUUUGCCUCCUAUUUGAAGCAGUAGACUCUUUCCCCUUUCCCAGGCAUGACAUUAGAGCUCCGUUGUACUACAUAAGCAGUUGCUGAAAUAUCAUUUCCUACCAGCUUAGUCAAAAAGCUGCUUCUAGAGGAAGCUGCAUAUCAGUCUAUUAGUGUAAUGACCUGCGCUUCGUGGCGGGAGGUCGUAAAGUUGAGAGCUAAUAAUAUGACUUUUAUUAUAUUUAUUUAUUACGAAACAUACAUAUAUAUAUAUAACAUUUACAUUAUGUAAGAUAACUAAAUAUAUAAUAUAGAUUAUCUAAUACGAUGUGAUGUCUUUAAUAAUACAAAUAUAAUUGAUAAAACAGUUCUUAGAUCAUUAUGGCCUAUCGGUUCCAUUUAAUUUCUUGCAGGUGUUAACUUUGCUUGGUCCUUUUCCAGUCUUCGAACUGCAUACGUAUGAACAAUAUCUCNUUGGAAAUAAGAAUCUUAUAAUUUUGAACGGAAGUGCUGAAUCCAAUUCGCCCGGAAAUGACGUUUUUGUUACUACCGAUUCGUCGAAAAGAAAGAUCCAGGUUGCCUUAGUCAUGGUUUCUUCUUUUGUGGCCGGUUUUUCGGUUUCGUUCCUCAUGUCUUCACUGACUUGGAAAUUCUUGAUUCGUAAAAAAGCAACCGAUGUGCAAGAUGAAGACAACCUUUCUGAUUUGAACAACAGGAAUAGGCUGCAGAUGGUACAGAGGCUGAGGAUGUUUCACGAACGGUAUUACUUGGGACAGCUCACCACUGCAUUAGAAGCUCUUUAAUUAGGGAGUUUUUUUAAAUUUUGGAGCCCAAAAACUCAUUUGAGCUUAUUGCCACAGUAGGACCUCUAAAUAUCUCUGUUUGCUAAAUGUAUAAAUGCUGCUUCUUAGAGUAGAGAAGCAGUUCAAGGCCCAAGAGCCUCUUAAUAAUGUUUGCUAUCAUGGGACAAGCAAGGUUGAAAUUCAGAGACAGAAAACCUCUUGAUUUUUUAUGCGUGAUAAAUACAAAAAAAAAUUGAUAUGUCAUCGCAGAAUAAAAUCCAACUGAAAGUAAAAAAAAAAAAAAAAAAAAAANAAUUAAUUUGUGUAUCCAUUUAUUGUAUGCUUAAUCCGACUAAUGUGGUGUAUGGUUGCUUACCCAGGUACCGAGACCGAUUUGCCGGGCGGGGCUGAGACUGAGUGAACGUUAGACGUAGCAAGUUUUGAUUUUAGUCUCUUUUGUUUUUACAUCUAGUAUUUUUGAAUUAUCUAUGAUCGUUUGUUAUCUAUUUUGUUUCGUUAUAUCUUCAUACCCACUUUUGUCACUUAUGGUAUUUUCGAACCUCUCUUGUGAUUCGUAGUAAGCUUUAGUUCUAUAGAAGUUAGAAUUUCAUUUGAUUUUAGUUAAAAUUUAAUUUCUUAGUCUCAUCCUAUGAUUCUUUGGAUUUAGUGGAAAAUUUGGUAAUCAUCUUUUGCUAGCUUUUGUCUGAUUCUAUAGCCUUGCAUAUUUGCUAGUUUAGUAGGUAUGCGGCGUCUGUUAAGCCUCGGGUUUGGGGCGUGACACGCCCAAAUCAGGAAAAAUUUAAAAAAACCCCUUUCCAAACAAAAAAAAAAACCGUUCAAAAAAAANAAUAACAUGUCUUUUCAAGAAAGAGGAAUGCGUGGCGGCUUCUUUAUAAACAUAUUUAUUAAACUAGACUAAGCAUAAAAAAAAUUUCAACUCAGCUCAUAACAAGAUGUCGAAAACCCUGACAGUAAAGAUUGUAUAGAUAAUCUAUGUCUACCGUACCAAAACAAGUAGGUACUGCAUAUUAAUUCAUAACCAUAACCUUAAUAACUCAACAUCUCUCAGCACUUCAUAUAUAGAGAUUGCCAAAAUACAUACUACCAUCCUAAUAGGCAGCAAGACUGUCAUCCAAUGCGAGAAUGCAAUAGUAGGAAGCUUCUGUAUGACUCGUUUACCUCAUAAACUGGCCUCCAUUUUCUCAAAAGCUGCUCAAGAACAUUAUAACUACGAAUAAAGUUGUGAUGUGGAAUUUGGGAGGAUAGCUGUAACAAAAAAGGAGUUCAGAGGAGAAAAGAGCUAACGACUAUUGCUGCCAUGUGGUGGGGAGUUCUUUGGCUUGAGCGGAACAGUAGAGUCUUUGAGAAUAAAAAAAGCCCGCCUAGUCUUCUAUUAGUCAAGAUCCGUUCGCUUAGAGACCUUUGGUUACGGUUUUGUCUUCUAAAUAGAGCCUGAUCUUCACCUUCUUUUUUUUUGUUUGUUUCGCCACCAGGCCCGGCUGCCUCAUACUGAGCCAAGUUCAUUUUCUUAAUGAAUAAAGCAGUGGCAUGCUACCUUCUCUCUCUCAAAAAAAAAAAAAAAAAAAACAACAUUGUGAUGUGAAAAAUCCAGCUGUAUCCAUAUCAAAAUAUGUCGAACAAAAGGAAAAGGAGAAAAUGAGCAACAAGAAGGAACUUACUGCUGUAGUUGAAUAGCUAGCUUCUCGAUUCGGUCAAACAUGUGUCAUGAGCAUUUGCCAGCAACAAGCAUCUAAGCUCAUCCCUUAAACACGGGAAAAAAAGAGACAAAUCAUGGGUGUAGAUAAGAAGAUCUUACCCAAACUAGAUAGCAUUUUGAAAUUUGUAUCUAAACUUCAAAAAUUCUGAUUUUACUGCCUAACCUUACUUUUCUUUUCAGUGUGUUUGGCACCAAAUCUAAAUGUGAUUCAGUAGAUUUCAAAAGACAAGAAUUCAGUUGAAUUCAUUUAGAAAUGAAAUCUUUUGCUUGCAAUAAAUUAUAACUCAAUUUGAAUUUCAUUCCGUAUUGUCGUGUACUUGUUAUAACCCUGCUCUCCCCGUCUUCGAUUUUCAUGUUGCAGCCCAAAUUAGCGGAUAAAAAUUUGGUGGACAUAGUUUCCAAAAAUAAUAGUUUGGGGAUCAUCUGGAUCGACGCCAUGUGACUAGCUGUACUCAUCUCAACUGUUCAAAAAAAAUAUUAUUUUUACUGGAUUAAAAUAUUUAAAAAUUUUAUUUUUAUUUGGCGAUUGAGAUGGGCUCUGCUUGCCACAUGGCGCCAAUCUGAACAAUCUCCAAAAUAUUUUUUUAAGAAUAAGAUAGCGUGCUACCCGCUUUAUUUAUUGAACUGAUGAAUUAGGCUACACGAGUGUCACAGCUGAGCCUCGAACCGGAUGGAAAAAUAAUAAUAAUAAUAAUAAUGUUUGGGGACGGACACUAGCGUGCGAUUGUGUGGGCCCCAAUGAUGGGCGUACGGAGACGACGGGGCGCAGGGGCACCGUUGAUUUCUACGUCUCGAUCGCAUGGAGCGGAGGAUGCGCGCAAGAGCCGAGUUCCGUUAUCCGAUCCUGACCGUCCGAUUAGCAGAUCGAACCUCACGGGGUUGGAAACCGAUCGCGAGGUAUCCUGCGAAAUUGGACGGGGUUGGAACCUUCUCUCUGGGGUAAUCCCGACAUCAAUCGGAAAGCUCUCGCAGUUGGCACAUCUAGAAUUGGAUCAUAACAACUUGUGUUCCGAGAUACCGCCACAGCUAGGGAACUGCAAAAUGAAAAUAGGGUUAUGAAAAAUGAAUUUGAUUAUGAAAAUUUGUAAGAUCCAUCCAUAUUGAUUUGAUGAGGGAUCUUAUGAUGACUAGACUAAUUAGAAUAGGACCACAUUGCAUUUUCAAAAUUAAAUUUUUAUAAAUAGUUAUGAAAAAAUUUAUAAGAAAAUUAUUUAUUCUAAUUUUUUUAAAAAAUUUUUGUAAGAUCUAUCCAUAAAAAUUUAAUAUUUAAUAAUAAACAAUAUGUGACGCCCCGACUUCCCAGAGGGUCACCCAUCCUAGGACUACUCCCGUCCUAGCACGCUUAACUCUCUUAAGCUCUUGGGCCUUGCCACCACCCAAAAUGCUUAAGCCGGGUUAAGAGUUUAGCCUAUUAUAUCUUAUAUAUAGGACUAUCUGGGGUCUCACAAUCUCCCCUCCUUUAAGUCCUGACGUCCUCGUCAGGCUUAGACUCACAAGUACCAGACGAUGUGAGACUCGUCCGUCAUCCAGGACACUGACUCAGCCGAGACUAUCUAACACUUCCGGCGGUAAUUGGCUCUGAUACCCGACUUCCCAGGGGGUCACCCAUCCUAGGACUACUCCCGUCCUAGCACGCUUAACUCUCUUAACCUCUUAGGUCUUGCCACCACCCAAAAUGCUUAAGCCGGGUUAAGAGUUUAGCCUAUUAUAUCUUAUAUAUAGGACUAUCUGGGAUUUCACACAAUAUGAUGAAUAAUUAAAGCAAGUUUAUGUUAAAAAUUGAUUAACUUUUAAAUUUUUUUAUUUAUCUUUACUUUUUUGGACUUUAAAAAAUUGUAAAAUACAAAUUAGGGAAUAUUACUUGUUUCCUUAAAAUUCUUAUGCAAAUUUGCAAAACUCUUCUAAGAAAAUUAUUUUUUCUUAAAAUCUUUUAGAAAAAUUGUGAGAUCUAACUAUGAAAAUUUAACAAAAAAUCAUAUGACAAAUACAUAAAAAAAUUUAAAUAUCAAUAAUGUCAAUUUAGUUUUUUGACUUUAUUAGAAUUUUUAUGUUUCUAAAUUCAAUAAUAGAAUUUUCAAAGUUAAAAAUGUCUAAAUCUCAUAUAAAAUGCUAAAUCCAUCCAAGAAAAUUAAAAAUUGGACCAUAUAAUGACUAAACAAAGUGGAUUUAUUUUCGGAUUUUUGUGAAUUGUAAAUAAAACUUUGUAAUUUUCUAUGUAUCACUGACAUUUCUAUAAGCCUCGCAUGUUCGUGUCGUACACGCGCGUCCGUGUCAUACACGUGUCUGAUGUGGACACUUUUUGAACGCACGUUUAAUGUUGAUUCAUAGCGCAUACAACUAAAAUAAAUAUAUACAUAUUUUUUUUUUACUUUUUCUAUGCAUAUAUAAUGUAAGAUGAUAAAUAUUUUAGCUUUUUGAUCAAUACAUAUAAUUUUUUUUGACAAUACAAAUAAAUUAUCUAUGGUGGAGAAUUUUUUUCUUAAAAUAUAUGAAUUAUCAAUAAAAAUUUUACUCACUUUUAUUCGUAUGAAAAAUAUAGCAAUAUUUUACUAAAAUCAAUAUUUUAUAUAUAAUAAAAAUAUAUUAUUAUAUUGAUAAUAUUAUAUUUUAUUAGUGGUGAUCAUGUCGUGUCCGUAUUCUAAUUAAUAUUUUUAAAAGCUAUCGAGUCGCGGAGUCCGAGUCAUGUCGUGUUCCGUAUUUUGUGUCAGUGCACUUUUCCUUUUCCGAGGCACGACGUUAACUCGAGUACACAGCUUGAUCGUGCUACAUAACCGGUUGCUGAAGUACCAUUUCCUACUAGCUUAGUCGAAAGCUGCUUUUAGAGAAAACCACAUAUCAAUCUAUUAUGCUGAUGGGGCUUUUGGCGGUGCAGUUGUAUAGUCCUUUUCCUUCUUCCCACACUUUUCCUGCUAGGUUAUUAUUGUAGUCACACCAUGUAUUUACAUCAAUUCUUUUUAAUUUAUGUAUCAUAUAGAACGGGAAUUUGCAUUGUUUUUGAGAAACUUGUAUACAUUUCUUAUCUAGCGGAACGAAGAUCGAUCAAAUUCACAAUUUCGCUCUAUCUUUUGCUCCAUUGAAAAAUUGUCGAGAAUCUGAAUGGUGAUCAUGCAAGGUAUCAAUUCUCUUCUAGUUUUUACUGCUUUUUUAAUUCAUUGGUCACAGAACAUAUGGCGAAAUUCUCUAUAAAUUAUUGAAUUUUAAAUUUUUAAAAUUUAACAUGGUAAAGUUUCAGUAAACACUGUAACUUCUAUUUAAUAAAAGAAAGAUGUGGUUGUUAAUUCAGCUGACGCGUCGUCUCUUACAGAUAAUAAGAUUGUUGCAAAAUUGAUGUAACAAUUAAAUUAACUCACAUGUUAUCGACACAGGUACAAAUAUGUGUACUUUUUAAUUAUGUAUUUGUACCCGUUUGGGUAUCUUUGUAUGCAUAAUAUCUGUAUCCAAAUCUAAAUCCAUCUCCAACUAGUUGAAUAAUAUCCCAUUCAUUUUCACCCCUAGAUUGGAACCCGAAAAUCCAAACCAACCUGUUUAAUCGGAAGUAUAAAAAAAGAUAAAAUUAUAAAAAAAAAAAAUACUUCUUUUCUGGUAUUUUGAAGUUUUAUUUCAAUCACUUCAGCAUGUAUGCAGCUUAUGGACAUUUCGACUUUUCUAAAACAAAGUUAAUUAAAAAAAAAUGUCACAAGGAGAGAGAAAAAUAUAAAAUAGGAAUCAAGGAGAUUAAGACAUACAGAAAGUGUGAAAAGAACCAAAAAUUCAGAGUCAAUUUCUGACCACAAGUCAUAAGUCACCAAAAGAAGGGCUUUUUUUGCAUUUAGUCCCCUAGCAAAUUUUUAUUUUAAAAUUAGCCCGGUCAAAAUUUAAUUUGCAAAAAUGAUCCUGGACCUGCUAUGCAAGCGCCACGUCAGCGCCACGCGGGCAGGACCGGGGCGCGUGUGUUAAGUUGAACACGGUGAACCAUUCACUGUGUUCAAACACGGUGAAUGGUUCGCCGUGUUGAGUACGCAUUGUUAUUGAAAAGAGAAAUAGGGAGUAGGGAUGUCAAUAGGUAUGGAUAUACGAAAUAUUAUCCGAAUCCAAACCCGAAUAAAUUAUGUAUAUAUACAUAAUUUAUUUUUAUUUAUUUAUACAAUAUAUAAAAUAUUUAAUAAUUUUUAUUUCUUAGAUUUUCAUCUAACGGUAUAGAUUUUUAAAACCCGCUGGGUUCAGAUUCGGAUUUCGAGUUUUUGGUCGGAUAUGGAUAUGGGUAUGAAUUUUUAAAAUCCGUCGGGUUCGGAUCCGGGUUUGGAUUUUAAUUUGAUUUUCGGGUUCGAGUUCGGAUUUUUGAAAAAGAGAAGAAAAGGAAUACAAAUUUUCUAUUCCUCUUUUCAAUAUACAAAAAAUACAUACCAAACACAGUGAACCAUUCACCGUGUUUAGACACGGUGAAUGGUUCACCGUAUUUAACUUAACUACCGCUCCCAGUCCCGCCCGCGUGGCGCUGACGUGGCACCUGCGCGAUAGGUUUAGGGUCAUUUUUGCAAAUUAAAUUUUGACAGGACUAUUUUAAAAAAAAAAAUUUGUCAGGGGGCUAAAUGCAAAAAUAGCGCCCAAAAAAAAAGAAAAUUUCUUGCACAUUUCUCAUGAGUGCCCCUAAAUGUCCCUCUUAGAGUCCCCAAUUUAUAUUUCAUGUUGUGAAAUAACUAAUUAGUCUAAAAGCAUAAACUGCUAGAAAACAAUAUCAUUUUUUUAAGACCAAUACUUUUUGAUAGGCACUUUACACAGUAUUCCUUUUUUAAGACUCGAGAUUUCAAGAGAAAAUAUAAAGAGACUCAAAAAGUAUUCAAACUCUGAAUUUUCUAUUCUAAUAGUAUGUGAAACAAUCAAUUACUCUCAAAGCUUAAAUUGACAGAAAAUGGCAUCCCUAAUAUCUACAUUCAUCGUGGAUGUCUACACAAGUUUAGUCUUUAUUAUCUAUGACAACUGGGGUACCUUAUGUAGUAUCAUUUUAUAUAUAUAUAUAUAUCUAUGACAACUGGGGUACCUUAUGUAGUGUCCUUAUAUAUAAUAAAUANUGAAUUUUAAAUUUUAAAUUUUAAAUUUAAUUUUAAAUUUAUGCUUUGAAUCUAAAAUAAAAAUAAAAAUUUGAAGUUUAAGUCCAAAACCAGUUUUGGAGAAGCAUCUUUUUUCUGCUUCUUAUUCUGGAGUGUUCGAAAUCAGUUUUCUAAUUCUGAAAAAUUAAAUUAAAUUUUUCAUAUGUCGUUCCCAAACAUUCUAUUGAACUCAAAAGUGAUUUUAGGCUAAGAAUCACUCCUUAGAAGCUAGGCUAAAUACCCCUUUUGGCUGUGCAGUUGUAUAGUCCUUUUCCUUCUUCCCACACUUUUCCCUUAUUGUAGUUACCCCAUGUAUUUGCAUCAAUUCUUUUUCAUGUACGUUUCACAUAGAACAGGAAUUUGCAUUGUAUUUGAAACUCGUAUACAUCUCUUAUUUAGCGGAACAAAGAUCGAAUAAAUUUAUAAUUUCGCUCUAUUUUUGGCUCCAUUGAAAAAUUGUCGAGGAUCUGAAAGGUGAUCAAUUCUCUUCUAGUAUUUACUACUUUUUAAUCCAUUGGUCACAGAACAUAUGGCGAAAUUCUCCGUAAAUUAUGUUUCUGUACCCAUUUACGUUUCUUUGUAUGUGUAAUAUCCGUAUCCAAAUCUGAAUCCGUCCCCGACUAGUUGAAUAAUAUCGCAUUCAUUUUCACCCCUAGAUUGGAACCUGAAAAGCCAAACCGACCUAUUUAAUUGGAAGUAAGUACAAAAGAAGAUAAAAUUAUAAAAAAAAUACCUGUUUUCUGAUAUUUUUAGGUUUUAUUUCAAUCACUUCUGCAUGUGUGCAACUUACCGACAUUUUGACUCUUCUAAAACAAAGUUAAUUAAAAAAAAUGUCACAAGCAGAGAGAAAAAUAAAAAAUAGGAAUUAAGGAGAUUAAGACAUAUAGAGAGUGCGAAAACAUCCAAAAAUUCAAAGUCAAUUUCAAGCUACAAGUCAUAGGUCACCAAGGGAAACAAGAGAAUUUUCUUGCACAAUUCUCGUGAGCAUUGCUAUGGACACCCCAAAGUGUCCCUCUUAGAGUCCCCAAUUUAUAUUUCAAGUUGUGAAAUAACUAAUUAGUCUAAAUGUGAGAAAACAAUAUCAUUUUUUAAGAUCAAUACUUUUCCAUAGGCCCAAGAUAAGCACUUUAAACGGUCUCCCUUUCUGAAGGCUUGAGAUUUCAAAAAAAAUAUAUUGAGAAUUAAACUCAAAGAUAUUCGAACUCUGAAUCUUCCACUCUAAUAUCAUGUGCAACAAUUAAUUACUCUCAAAGCUUAAAUUGACGGAAAAUGGUGUCUCUAAUAUCUACAUUCAACACGGAUGUCUACACAAGUUUAGUCUCAUAUACAUUUCUUAUUUAGCAGAACGAAGAUUGAUUAAAUUCACAAUUUUGCUCUAUCUUUUGCUCCAUUGAAAAAUUGUCGAGAAUCUAAAAGGUGAUCAUACAAGAUGUAUCAAUUCUCUUCUAGUUUUUACUGCUUUUUUAAUCCAUUGGUCACAUAACAUAUGGCGAAAUUCACCGUAAAUUAUUGAAUUUCAAAAUUUGAAAACUUGACAUGGUGAAGUUUGAUUUCCAUUCCAGUAAACAAUGUAACUUCUAUUUAAUAGAAAAAAGAUAUGGUUGUUAACUCAGCUGACGCGUCAUCUCUUACGGACAAUAUGGUUGUUGCUAAAUUGAUGUAACGAUUAAAUUAGCUCACAUGUUAUUGACACAGGAACAAAUGUGUGUACUUCUUAAUUAUGUAUUUGUACCCAUUUGUAUGCGUAACAUCUAUAUCCAAAUCUGAAUCCGUCCCCGACUAGUUGAAUAAUAUCGCAUUCAUUUUCGCCCCUAGAUUGGAGCCCGAAAAGUCAAACUAACCUAUUUAAUUGGAAGUAUAUCUAUACCUAUACCUAUACCUAUACAUUAUUUCUCAUGGAGUUUGCUACGUGGCAAUUCCUCCUUUACUUUCCUUCCUACUCCCUGAUGCUUCGUCUUCCCACCCUCAUCUCUACCCAAUUCUUCCUCUUCCCACCCACCUAUUUUCUAAUUAAUGUAUUCACAUGAUCCAUUUUCAUCUAAAUAAAUCGCUUCUAAAAAAAAGUAAAAUAAGAUCUUUUAUACUCCUUUUUAUCACAUUUUUUCUUUUUUCUUUUUUUUUUUUGCACAAGAAGGGUUCAUUUUUUGUAUUUUUCUUAAUCUUUUUUUCUAUUUUUUUAAAGUGUGUGGAGAUUGAAAUUAGGGUUCCAAGGAUCACGGCGAGGUGAAGUGCGAUGGAUUUAGAGUUGAUGAAAGGGAAGAAGCCGUGACUGUGGGGGAAUCCGUACGGCAUCGACGUGGCUGUAACCAAGAAGAAGCUCGACGCCGACAAUGACGGUGGAGGCAAUGUGGAGAAUGGGAAUCGUCUCCCCGAUCUCAGCAGCGCGACCAAGGUGCGUAUGUAGUAGUAAUUCUAUUACCGCUUCUUUCAUUAUUGUUAUAUAUAAUUUAUUUGUUGUUAUAAGUUUUGUUAUAUUUGUACAUAUCUGUUUUAUAUUUUCUAUCCGUAUUUAUUGAUAUCUCAUGAUAAGUUAAAUUUUUUAAAAUUUUAACUCUUUUAAUCUUUUAUUUUUUAUAGAAUUAGUCUGCCGCAAUGCGCAGGUAAUUUUAUAAAAAAAAAAAUAUGUAGUAAAAAAGAUUACUCGUUUUCUGAUAUUUUGAAGUUUUAUUUCAAUCACUCUGCGUGUGUGCAGCUUAUUGAGACUUCAACUUUUCCAAAACAAAGUUAAUUACAAAAAAAUGUCACAAGGAGAGAGAAAAAUAUAAAAUAGGAAUCAAGGAGAUUAAAAAGUCACAAGACAUAGAAAGUAUGAAAGAUUCAAAAUUUCAGAGUCAAUUUAUGACAAGUCAUAGGUCACCAAGAGAAACAAGAGAAUUUUCUUGCACAUCUCUCAUGGGCAUUGCUAUGGGCACACCCCUAAGUGUCCCUCUUAGAGUCCCCAAUUUAUAUUUCAAGUUGUGAAAUAACUAAUUGGUCUAAAACAGUAUCAUUUUUUAAGAUCAAUACUUUUCGAUAGGGCCAAGAUAAGCACUUUAAACAGUACCCCUUUUUUAAGGCUCGAGAUUUCAAGAGAAAAUAUAUUGAGAAUUAAACUAAAAAAUAUUCAAACUCUGAAUCUUCUACUAUGAUAUUAUGUGCAACAAUCAAUUACUUUCAAAACUUAAUUAAAUUGACAGAGAAUGGCGUCUCUAAUAUCUACCUUCAACACGGAUGUCUACAUAAGUUUA